RNAcentral lists this long non-coding RNA (83660 nucleotides) under Hordeum vulgare. RNAcentral describes it as "long non-coding RNA (HVUL_LNC017092)". The record is from RNAcentral. Lineage: Eukaryota; Viridiplantae; Streptophyta; Magnoliopsida; Poales; Poaceae.
UGGACGGUACGCGCGAGGCACGGUGGUGCCGGUGGUCAGCCCACCCUGCAGGUUCGGCGAGAUGGUGGCAGACGUGACCCAGAAGAGAGAGGAGUUUGCCAAGGCGGAAGUGGCCUUCUGAUUGCUGCGAGGUACACCGCUGCUGAAUCGUACGUGGUAAUUUUUCUACUCCUUCUCUUCCUACCACCACCUAUCACCUAUGUAUGCAUUUUAAGUCGUGUGUUAUUUGUAUCCAAUAAUGUAAGUGAGAUGUUUACACGCGCAUAUCUAUCUUGUAUACUCGGUCUCUGAAAGGCAUGGCAGAUCAGGAUAGUGUGCAAAGGAACAGCAAGUGUUGUUGCAGGUGUAUGUGUUUUGUUUUUUGUUUUUUUUGUGCGGGGGUUGAAGGUGUAUGUGUUGGGAAUAAGAUUAUUUUUGUUCACAAAUACGAUGUCUAAUCGGUGUCGUAUUCGUACCCGAGUACGUUUGUCCCGUUCUCAAGUUGGUCGCUAUGUCUGACGGGCGAUGCAUGUUGCUUUUGACCACGGAAUCCGCCCAUGGCUCGACAAGCUCCGUUAACGGCAAGUAAAGGCAAGUCAACACAAGGUAAAGAUGGUCGACAAUAGUUCAAGAAAGCUCCUGUGGGUCCGAGCAAGACACCCCACUCAAUAAAAUCUAAUCAAGCCUUCAUGGUCAACAAGUUUAAAAAAAAAGACCAUGUAAAAGAAUAAGUCAAAGAUCAACACACAUAAAAAAAGGAGCAAAGAAACUCAAACCCAAACAAUAAGAUUUUUGUAUGGCGCAGAAAUCUCUCCUUAAAUGGGCCUCCACCCCCUCCUACCACAUGGGCUAAAACAUUUAAAAUACUUCCUCCGUCUCAAAAUAACUGUCUCAAUUUUGUACUAGCUCUAGUACAAAAUUGUACUAAGCUUGAGACACUUAUAUUAGGACAGAGGGAGUAUGUAGUAUCAAUACAGUCCAUAUGUGCAUCCUCCUUCUAAUACCAAGUCCUUACUCUCGUGGAGCUGAUUCAUGGACGCGGCUAUGUAUCGCCUAUAGUGAUACCUUAUUUAGGGGUGCUUAUAUCUUUUUUCAGCAUAGUAUAAUUAAAGUCGCUCACAUACAUAAAUAUAUAAUUAUUCAUAUAAAUGUACACGCAAACUCUAUCUCUGUGAGCACUUUCGAGAAACCGACCGACACAUCAUCUUGAGAUUGACGAAGUCGUCACAGACACUUUCGUAGUCGACGGGAACGUCUUCUUUCACUAAACGCACAUCACAUGAAGGCCUGAAAUAAAUCUAGGAGAAUGCAAGCAUAAAUAUCAAGCUUGCGACUUGAACUCACGUAGACAGGGGGUACCACCAUUCUUCUAACCAUCCAAACACAGGUUCGUUCACGCCUAUAAUGAUACCUAGCGCAGUGUCGUUAGUGUGGCCUAGUUGGGUUGGCCCAGGAUGUUGGAGAACCACUGGAUCUCCAACACACAUUUUUGCUUUUCAUUUUUAUCACUUUUACUUAUAUUUUUAAUAUGGGAAAAUAUUUAUGUUUUAUAUAUGUACACCACACGUUCCAAAAAAAGUUAUCAUAGUGUAAAAAAAUGUUUGGGCAACUUUGAAAAAAAUAUCUAAAAUAAAAAAUGCCCAUGACAUUUUUUAAAAUUUUCAGAAAAUGUACAUAACAUUUCAAUAAAAGUAUUUAUGCAAUUCAAAAACUGUUUGUAUAAAUAUAAUAAAAAUGUUCAUACCAUUCAAGAAAUAUACGUGAAAUUUUAAAGAAUAAUUCUUGUGUUUCAAAUAGGAUCAUAACAUUUUUUCAAAGGUUCACAUAGUUUGACCAAAAUAUUUUCCAGCCAUUAAAAGAUGUACAAUGUGCGUUUGAAAAAAUGCUUAAACAUGUAUGAAAAAAUGUUCAAUAUAUGUAUUUGCAAAAAGGUACAUUCAUGUAUUGAAAAUGUUCAACAUGUGUCAAUUUGUUUUUCAUGUCUAUACUAAAAAUAUACAAUGAAUACUGAAAAGUGGGCAUGUGUUGGAAAAAAGAAAAACUCAAAGUAAACAAAAACAUAUGUGUUUGAAAAAGGUUAAACGUGUGUAAAAAACUGUUUCUAAUGUGUACGAAAAAUACACAAUGUGUAUGAUAAAAGUUGACAUAAAAACAUAUAUUUCAAAAAAGUGUUAAUCAUGCAUCCAAAAACCAUUAAAUGUGUAUAUAUUUUCCCUGUUGUAUACGAAAAAUGUAUAACCAGUAUGAAAAAAUAUAGACAUCAAAAAUAUAUUUAUAAAAAAAUUAAUCAUAUAUUUAAUAAAUUUAGAAAAUAUUCCUACAGCAUACUAAAAACAAACAAUAUGGUUGAAAAGUAGACGUGUGUUGAAAAAACCCCAAUGAAAACAGAUGAAAACUAAAAAAGAAAAAAAGAAAAAAGAAAAAAGAAAAAUCAAAGAAACUAAUGUAAAACACUGAAACAAGAAAAGACUGAACUAAGAAAAGAACAAAGAAAUCAAAGAAAAAAAUGGAAAACAAUGGAACACUGCGAAUAACCUAGAAAGCCUAUUUGGAUGUCGCGCAACAGAUGGACACAUGAGAAGGAGCGGAUUGACCCGGUUAUGUCAAUCAGAAAAGUUAGGGAGGAUCUGGCGCUUCUAGAUUUGCCUCGUGAGCAGGCCCUGGGGCUACCCCGGGUUUGGCUGGGAGCCUCCGAAUGUAUUGCAUGUCAAAAUAAACACGGACGCUGCAAUCCACUUUGAUGAUGGCAAUGUCGGUGCUCGCGGUGUUGCUCGUUCUGCAUUGGGAUUCAAGGGUGCUUGAUGUAAGCCUUUUGCGGGUGUUACAGACCCACUCAUCGCUGAAACUCUCUCUCUCUCUCUCUGAAGGAAGGCGUCAUUUUUGCCACACUUUGAGGCUACACGCACGUGAUCAUGGAAAUCGACUGUCUAGAGGCAGUUAACCUCUGGAAUUCUCGCCACACCGAUCGCUCGAUGGUGGCACCAAUUCUCACAGAAAUUGGAGAGCUAGCUCUUAGUUUUACAUCAUUUUGUAUUCAACAUGUAAUAAGAUCAGCAAAUGGUCCUGCACAUCUUUGUGCUAAGCGUGCUUGUACGCUUAAUGUGACCGACAGCUGGUUAGACUCUAUCCCUAGCUUCUUGAUCAUCAGCCUCUUGAUUGAUUGCUCAGCGAAUGCAUUUGUUGAAUAAAGCUUUCAGAAAUUCCCCGUAAAAAAAACUAAAGAAAAACUGAAGAAACGGAUGUCGCCUUGUUUGUUUUUCAUGUACUUAAUGCACCAGGCGGUCCAUUCCUUGUAUGGAUUGGUGAACCCCGUCCCUCCACCCCAUCCCCACUAAUCCGUGCUGCUAACCCCUUCCGUAGAAACCUCCCGCUACAAAUGUGUUUAGUUCUGUCGCCUUGCUCGAGAGAGAUGAAAAUUGCUCUUCACUCGGGAUUCCUUCCAUGGGGGUGCUAGAGGGUGAUUUUGUUCCUCGUGGAUCUAGAGAGAUUUGGUCUAGAGAAGACCACACAUGGCUUAAAUGGACGCAUAAAGGUGAAUUGGCUAGGUUUAUUUCCUAGUGGGGGUAAAUCCACAUUGACUCCCAUAAAUUGGACUCAAAACCAUAUGGUGGUGGGAGUAACCGAACGAGGCCUUAAGGGACCGAUAAGUUAUAUUUUUACUUUCUUCAUGUUAUUUAUGGUUUGAAUUGGCCUUUUCUAAAGCAUUACGCCCACUCAUAUGGUGAGUUGUUCAAAAAAAUUAAACAUGUGUUUAAUCUUUUUUAAGUGAAAAUUGAAAAAGGCUAAAGCAUUAUUAAAGAGCUAGCCAUGGAUAGAAAUGCGUGAAAGCUAGCUAUCAACGUAAGAAUCAUGGGUCAACUACGAGAUCUUAUCCGUUUCAGCUCUAGCGGACUCUAACUUAUUUUUGAAUACAUCCUUUGUUGAUGUUGUUGUAUUCUAAACCGAAAGCAAGUAUUACGGGAGAUCGAUUUGCAACCAAACCAAACUCAUAAUAAAUCCUCUUUUCCACGUUUUCGGAGCACCCAAGUUUUUGUGAGCAUUAUACUCCCUCGGUCCUUUUUAGUUUGCAUAUAAGUUUUGUUUAAAGUCAAAGUAUCUCUACUUUGAUCAAACUUAUAGAAAAAAUUAUCAACAUUCACCAUACCAAAUCAAUAUUGCUAGAUUCUUUACGAAAUGUAGUUUCAUAGCGUAUAUAUCUAGUAUUGUAGAUAUUGGUAUUCUUUAAAAUAAAUUUGAUUAAACUUUGUAAAAUUUAUCUUAGAUCAAAAUCUAAUACGCGGACUAAAAAGGACCUGAGGGAGUACAUGCAGUUGUUAGUUCAAAAAGGAGGAUAGAAUAACAAGAACCACGCCGGAUGGCCCACGUGUCAGCGGCCCGUGCUAAAAGACCACCCCUUAUCCCCUCUUCCACCGUCCCCUGCUGCUUGGCCCUGUGCCGCUCCACAUCACCCCGAGCUUCGUGUCCCCCUCGCUCGCAGCCUCGCAGCACCGCGCGGCCGGCCGGGCGCCAUGGCGCACUCCUGCCUCUCCGCGGCGCGCACGGCGGCGGCGCUGCGCCUCCCGCUCCAGGCCGACCACGCCGCGUCCGUGUUCCCCCGCCCGGCGCGCGCGUCGUCGUCCCGUCUGCGGCUCAUUGUCGCCGCACCCGUCCUGCCGGUGCCGCGGACGAGCAGGCGCGCGCUCCCCGUCGUUGCCAUGGCGUCGCAGGAGGAGGCCACGGCCGUCGAGGAGGCGCAGGAGGAAGCCGUACAGGAAGCCACGGCGCAGCUGGAAGAGGAUGAGCCAGCAGGGGAGGUCGAGGAGCAGCAGACGGAGGAGGAGGAGGAGCAGGGCGCGGCCGCGGAGGCGAUCUCGGACGGCGGCGAGGAGGCCGGCGGUGAUGGUAGCACUGGCACCGGGAGCAGCGCCACCAAGCUCUACUUCGGGAACCUGCCGUACAACUGCGACAGCGCGCUGCUCGCCGGCAUCGUGCAGGACCACGCCGUCCCGGAGAUGGUCGAGGUACGCGCGCGCGCGCACGCUGUUUGAUGAAAUGCAUUGGCCGAUCACUUCUGUCUUGUUCUCAAACGCCUGCAUUUUCGAUUUCAGGUGCUCUACGACCGGACGACGGGGAGGAGCCGGGGCUUCGCCUUCGUGACGAUGAGCACGCUCGAGGACUGCGAGCGUGUCAUCAAGAACCUGGACGGCACCGUGAGAACUCCGCUCAAUCUAUCCACCAUCACCGUGAGAACAUCCUCCAUGGGUUCCUCUCAUGCUCAUGCAUCGAUCGUCCGUUCCAUGUUUCAGCUGUACAGCGGGCGCACGAUGAGGGUGAACAUGGCCGACAGGCCCAAGCCCAAGGCGCCGCUGUACCCGGAGACGGAGCACAAGCUCUUCGUGGGCAACCUGUCGUGGACGGUCACCCCGGAGAUGCUCACCGACGCGUUCCAGCGCUGCGGCAACGUGGUCGGCGCCCGGGUGCUCUACGACGGCGAGACCGGCCGGUCCCGUGGCUACGGCUUCGUCUGCUACUCCACCAAGGAGGAGAUGGACCAGGCCAUCGAGACGCUCAACGGAACGGUAUGAAACAUCUCUCUUCAGUUUGGUACAUGAAAAUUAAGCUGCAGAUGUGCAUGCUCAGAUACAAACUUGUGAAUUGCCAAUAUCCCAGCAGAACUAAAGAAUCUUUGCCAAGAUGAACUUUGUUUUGAUAGCUUGGAUUCUGAUCGGAAAUUAAUUCUUUCACAGCACCAAUGAAAAAAUAACAGAGUUUUCAUGGCACAAUUCAACUUAACUGAAUAAUGACAUGUCUUGCAGGAGAUUGAAGGCAGGGAGAUCAGGGUCAACUUGGCCCUGGGGAAGAGAUACUAGAGAGCUUGAUCGUUUCUUCACAUUGGAGAAAUCGGCGUCAGGCUCGGGGUUUAUGCGAUGCUUCCUCGCAAUGCAAAAUUAUACAGAGCAACAAAUAAACCAUCGAUUGCUCAUGAAAGCACAUUCUGAGAGCAACAAAUAACAUCGUUCUUGCAUCGCUGAUCUGAUAUGUUCACCUGGUGUAUAUUUGGUGACUUCGUUCGUCGAAAUGGAGCGGGGAAAGCCUUAUUUUUCUAGAAGAAAAUUGAUGCGUGUUUAAUUGGGGUUGCUGAUAAUUAUAUACUUUCAUGGUUCCAUGCUCUUGGAACUGCAUUCUUUUAGAUCCUCUUGCAACUCAAUUUUAUGUGUGCUUCACAAAUUAUUGGGAUAAAGAUGAUAGAGUACCUAAUUAAGUGAACGUAUUUGUCCGAGAUGGAUCCAUUACCAUUCUUUCUACUAGCAGUUAUGCCAGUUUCAUGUGAACACUAAGCCGUUGCUUUCUCGGAGAAUCAACUCGAUAUUGCCACAAAACGUCCAGAUUUCAGGCUUAUGCCCAAGUGUGGCCUAAAAUUAGCCCAGAUUUAGGUAGAAAGUGGCAGAAGUUGUCAAAUCUUACAAUUCGGUUCACUUAGAACAUCUCCAACAGCGGUGCUAUGCACGACACGCAAAAAAACAUUUUACAUCGUCGAAAUAGUCGGUUUUUGCGCGGAGCCGAGCGCUGGUUUCAGCGGUCGCUGGAAACUAUGGCACGCGCGAGCCGCUCCACCAUAUGCUGCAAAUAAACGGCGCGCGUGAACAGCAAGCAACAUAUACACUCCAAACAAAACCAAAAAGAUCAAAUACAUAAAAAAUAAUUAAAAAUAAAUAGUCCAAUUUUAUUACAACAUAGACAAAUAGUUUACCUUCCAAUACAACAAAUCAUCAUGCUUUUUGUCGUCCAUUUCAUACCCACCACUCCUCGAUGAGAUCCUUCUGCAAAUCAUCAUGUGUUUCGCUACGUUGAAUGGCAUGAUAGGAGGUAACAAACCGGCCCACCCUCGCAGCCCUCCGUCGCACUUGUACGGAAUGUCCCAAGAGCUCACACUGAGAGUAGUCUAAAUCUUGACCACGUUCAUCGUCAAUGAUCAUGUUACGCAUGAUCACACAAGUGUGCAUGAUGUAUCAAAGAAUUUUUUGAUCCCAAAAUCUAGCCGGUCCUCGCAAUAGCAAAUUGGGCUUGCAAAAUCUCAAAAAUUCUCUCAACAUCUUUUUUAGCCGCUGCCUGAGCAUUGUGGAAAUCAAGAUUUUUCUUACCUUCCUUUUUUUCAACGGCUUCACAAAUGUUUAUCACUUUUGAUAUAUGCCAUCCGCAAGAUAGUAGCCAUAGUUGUAUGUACGAUCAUUUGCUACAAGUUGCACCGAUGACAGUUUACCAUUUGCAAUCUUAUUUUUAAGUGGUGACUGAUUAACAACGUUGAUGUCAUUCAAAGAUCCAGGCAUUUCAAAAAAAAAGACAAAUUCAAGUCUUUUGAUCGACCACCGCUUCAAGGAUUAUAGUGGAAUCAUUUUCUGAUCGUGGAAUUGCCCAUGUCAUGCUUAGGACGGUUCUUCCAACUCCAAUGCAUGCAAUAUAUUGAGCCAAGCAUACCUAAGAACCCGCGAGCUUUGUUCAUCUCCAAUAGCCUUGCGACGUCUUCAACAUUGGGAAAUUUCAAAUACUUCGGGCCAAACACUUGCACAAUUUCGACUGCGAAGCGCUUGACACACAUGAUGGCCUAACUCUCACCCAUGGUCAAGUGAUCAUCAACUAGAUCAGCCGAAACACCUUAUGCCAACAUACACAAAGCGAGUGUCACUUUUUGAAAGGUGUUAUGCCCGAGUUCUCCGGCGGCAUUCCUCCAUUGCUCAAAAAACCGGUCAUGGCUCGCCAGUUUCUCUGCAAUGCGCUUGAACAACUCGGUGCUCAUCCUAAACCGACGCCUGAAGUAGGACUCGGGGUAUGUGGAAUUCUCCACUAAAUAGUGCCUCAUCAAUCUAUUGUGAACAUCGAUUUUAUCCCUCCAAAUUUUAUGCCGACCCAUAACCGAACCAAAGUGCUUCGGCUUUUUAUUGAUAUGCAUAACAAGGAUCAUUGCAAGGUCCUCCUUUUCUUCAAUAUCAAAUUCUUCUUAGACAGAAUCAUAUGAGAACUCAUCUACAAUAUUGAAUUUAAACUAGUCUAUAAAAACUAUAAACAACAUGCAUAAAAUUCAUGUAAAAAUGUGAAGUUAAAGCAAUACAUACCUUGCAAGCGUUCCGUCGAACACCUUGUGGGCGCCGUGAGGCGGUAGGCGGUCGGGCGUUGUUCGUAGGAGGAAUGGCACUCGCGAGGGGCGGCGGCGACUAGAGGGAGAAGGAGGAAGCAGCGGUGUCGUGGGGAUAUUCGGGGGAAGCAUUGUCGGGUUGUCGGGUCGCCGGAGCAAACAGGGUGGUACGGGCGGCGGCGCGAGCGCCUGGAAUGGCGGAAAGUGAAAGUCGCGGCGCGGGCACUCGAGUGUGCAACGCGCGGGAGCGGGUGCACGCAAUAAGUUGCGCACGAUGUCGUUUCGUCCCACGCGCUCAAGCAUUUAUGUCGCGUCGCAUUUUUUAUGCCUCCGUUGGAACGCCUGGAGCAACUGCGCACGCAAAAAUCAUUAUUUUUUCAACGUGGUGCUUAUAUCACACGGCUGUUGAAGAUGCUCUUAGAUCACAAUCCUUCUAUUUAGAUAAAAAAUGAAAUCUCUACAAGAACUUAUAUUUAGGAACGGAGGGAGUAUAAAACUAAGUGAACAUGAUGAAUCAAGACUUUACUCAAUAUACUCCAAAUAAUUUCAUAAUUUCACGAAAUGUAAACUAUUAUUUGUUAAAUUACUCAACACAAUAAUGUUCAUGGCUUGCACAUGCCAUUGUAAUACUAAACUUUUUAACAUAUCAUAUUACAUAAAAGUGCAAAUAAAACAAUAUUCUAAACUACUCGCACAUUAUCAUAUGAUAUUUUAAAAUUUUACUCGGUACCCAAGACAGGCACACAGAGUGGUGAUUCACGGUGAUAUCUCAUCUCAGCAUGUUGACAAUCAUAUCCUGUACGUGGAAGACCUACAGGAUUGGGUGCCAAUUCUGUGAGCUUCAUGGAGUAGACCCAUGGGACAAACAAUGGGCAAUGGAGCCAACCCAAAUUUAGCGACACGAGAUUACUCAUUUUUUUUACUUUAAAAUAUUCUUUUGUACUCCCUCCGUAUGAGUGCUUCAAAUGGUGUAUUCACAUGGUACCCAUGGUAUAAAUCAGGAACUUUAGAGGAACAAGAAGAUCUUAAAGAGGAGCAAAACAUGUCACAAUCUCGAAGCAAAAAUAAUAAUGUCUGGGCCCAUGUAUAUUUGGCCAUCUAUAUAAAUUCCCAAGAGGUUUUUUUAUAUAUUUUUUGAAUUCUGAUCUUAUAAAAAUCCUACUUCCUUCGUAAACAAAUAUAAAAACGUUCAGAUCAUUAAAGUAGUGAUCUAAACACUCUUAUAUUUUUUUUACAGAGGGAGUACAAUCGAAAGAGUCAUCGAGAAGCUUCCAAAGUUUUUUUUUCUUGCUAGAAGUAUUAGCAACAGAAAUAAAACAAUAGAGAACGAAAAAAAAAGGAAGAAACAACUAAAAGAUUACCAAAUCAAGCCGGAGGCCCGGAGCCACUGGUGUGACUGACAUGUCUCCUCGUUGGUGCCACGAGGAGCAAUCAAAGCCACAGUUGCCCACAACAUCCAAGGUGACACAAAGAAAGCGCGAGAAUUCCCCCCAAAAAGUGUUAGUAACAUGAAUGAAAGUAGAGAUAUUUUCUAUUUUUGCUUGCAAUUUUUUUAAAUAAAAUGAAAUCAAGCGGGAACCUCUUGUCUGGUGUGCGCGACGAGAGGCAACCAAACAUGUUGAGAUGGAAUGAAACAAAUGAUCAAAACUCUGUCCUUUAUUGAUGAUUGGCAUGUUAUUUAUACAAUGGGAACGGUCGCCUCACAAGGACGCGAUGGUUUGUAGAGGCGUCAUUCCAGGAAACCGUCGUGACUGUUCUCACAGUCCUGGAACCGUACGUGAUGGUUAAAGUGUGGGGAUUAUCCCUUAUAACCGCAAGGGUUAUAUUUUAACACUCCCCCUAAUCACCUCUUCAUUGUAUGAAAGUCCAUCAUCUUGAUUAAGUCUCCUUCCAAAACCCUGCGGAAAAAAUAUGACGAGAAAGGUGUUCAAUAUGUUGCUAAAACUCCUUUAAACCCGGUGGGAAAAAUAAGGAGAAAAUGAUGCAACAUAUAUCGGUUAUUGUCUCUUUUAACACAGUAUGAGAAACUCAUAGAAUUUAGAGGACAAUAAAUAUGGCGUAUAUACUUUCCUAAAAAAACUAUGGGGGAAACUGAAAGUAUGACAUAUGAUCUCAUGUUGAUAUUACCUCAUUAAAAACCUUUAUGAGAACUUUUAUAGUAAACUUAUGAAGGGAAAAAGAGUAUACUAUGAUGCAUUGAACAUGAAUAAUUCAGGAAGAUACUCCGCUUGAUUUUUGCAAAUUUUAAAGUCAUCACAUACCAAUUCCAUGAAUAUAGUUCUGGAAUGUAAAAGUUGGUAGAGACUUCCUGAGCAAAUCAGUGACAUGAUUUGAUUUGCAAGAAAUGCAGUAUAGAGAUAUUGCUUCUUACGUAACAUGUUUGCAUCCGGGCAACACAAGCAACAUUAUUGUUGAGAUAACGGUUGGUGGAUGUAGCCAUGAGAUCUGUUUCGAAGACUCUUCAUGAGAGAGCUACCACACCUAGUAUGAACACUAAAUUUGUCUACGAUCUGACAUAGUGAGGAUCUGAUCGAUGUAUCCAAUAAUAUCGGUUCUCAGUUCUCACAUUUCUGUGAAACUGAAAAACCACGACAAGAUGUUUGAUGCCUUGGAGAUAUCGAAAGAUAUUCUUGAGUAUCAACCAAUUGUGUUUGGUGGAUCCAAUGGCAUUAUGGAACGUUGAGUCCCAAUAUCUCAUUUCCAUCAUCUCUUGGUUUAUAUAGAUCUUGCUCUACGUCUAGAGAGUGAACUAUCAUGAGAGCUAUGGAUGGAUAAUAUUUGUCCAUAAUGAAUUUCCCAAUAUAUUGUGGAUAUAGGCAACAUAGUAUACCAUAAUGUAUGAAUGAAGGUGCUCAAGUUGUAGUAACAACUAGUAUUUUGGUUUACCCAAAUCCUUCAUUUUAAACUCCGUCAUUUAGAUGAUUACAUGUGUCGUCAUUGCAGACAGACAAGCAUGGAUAAUCAUCAUUGUAGGAGUAAUCCUUGUGUAUAGGGAACUCACUACAUCGGUUGUACCAUAUGUACCGACAACAAUAAGUCGUAUGGUGACUUACUGAUUUUUACACAAUGUAUAUUGCAUUUUGCAUUUCGAUUCAGAAGUGAGAUUCCAUCGGGAAUCAAUCAUAUAUGCCUAAAUCUAGUGAUCCACAUGGAUAUGUGCUCACUACAUCUAUCAACUGCAGAGAUAGAUGAUUUUGUACUACCAAUGAUAUAAGUUAUCGGAAAGAGAUUCCACCUAUGAAGAAUAGUCGGGUAUCUGCGUGAACCCUUGUGCUACAAUACUUGCUCUUUGUUUCACCACCUCAUUGUUCUCAAUUAUGUUUCCAGAAGAAAAGUAGUGUAGGUAUUGCUUAUGAAUACCUUUCCAUUGUUGAGCAAGAUCAUUUCUACCUAAAUUAUACCCUUUGCUUGAGUUCAAUCCAAGUGUUGUUCACACUUUGCCAUGGCCAUGGUCUUUGGAUCCGAAUCAUGUUAAAGGUUUUGCAAUCUAGUUGAGAAAUGUAUGUCGACAACUGUAGACUUCCGGUUAUAUGAUUCUCUAGAAUCUAUACAUCAGUAUAUAGUUGAUGGAAAUAUCGUUACCCAUGGUGACUACUCGCGAUUUCCCAAUGCGAUUGAGUCGGGUAUUCCGAUGUCCCGGUCAUUGUGUGCACUAUGACCUGGGUUUGUGGAGGUUUCCCAGCCACUGGAUAUGCUACCCAUUAGGCGUUUGUCAACGUGAAGUUGACUUGCAUUUACUGAUUCAUAGGCCUUCAUAUCCUUGCUUGCGAGAAGCUGAAUCCUGAUGUACUUUUGCCAUAUAUCUCCCCUUGCUGCUUUGAACGGGGAGUGGAGUGGUUUUUUGUUGGUACCUCCACUCUUUCAGUCGUACUUUGCAGGAUUGUAGGAUUGUGUGACACCUUUAUAUUCAGUAAAUGAAUCUGGCAGGUUAUUUGCAAUGUGUUGCAAAUCUUCUGAACGCAUGGUUCAGAUAUUUGAGUAUGUGGAUUUGAGGCAGAAAUGUGUUGAACAUUCCACUAGUUUCCUAGCAUUCUUUAUGGUACUUGAAUUCUCCCCCUAAUGUCUGGAAAUAUUCCUCAUUGAAUCAGCAUACUAGCCUUGAAUAACUCCCCAUGUGAGGGGCUUGGGGUAUUGACGGAAAUACAGUUAUUCCUCACAUAGAUCCCAACUAUAUGUUGAGGGACCAAUGAUGUAUGCGAGGUGGUGAUAUCAGUAUGCAACCGAAUUACCGCAGAUGGAAAAUACUUGAUAGAUUUCCACGUAUCAAAGAUAGAGGGGAAUAAUAUUAUGCAGUUCUGUCAUGAGCAUGUAAAACUGCAUGACUCCAAGGUAAAGUUGGUAGGUUGCAAUUCCAAAGUAAAGAUAAUGCAAUGAGCUUAAUUCUAUGGAUAAAGAAUUCUACCAAACCAUUUUUAGUCUAGACAUUAGGAAAAAUUGCAAACUUCAAUCCAAGGACCAUAGAGAAGGUACUCAAGGAGAAUUUGCAAUGUUAUCCAUUUGAUUUGCUUGAAGUCGACGUUAGGAUAAUGAGCCAAUUGUUGGAAUUAUGCCCUAGAGGCAAUAAUAAAUAUAGUUAUUAUUAUAAUUCCUGUAUCAAGAUAAUCGUUUAUUAUCCAUGCUAUAAUUGUAUUGAAUGAAGACUUAUAUACAUGUGUGGAUACAUAGACAAAACACUAUCCCUAGCAAGCCUCUAGUUGGCUAGCCAAUUGAUCAAAGAUAGUCAGGGUCUUCUGAUUAUAUACAAGGUGUUGUUGCUUGAUAACUGGAUCACGUCAUUAGAAGAAUCACGUGAUGGACUAGACCCAAACUAAUAGACGUAGCAUUUUGAUCGUGUCAUUUUGUUGCUACUUUUUCUGCGUGUCAAGUAUUUGUUCCUAUGACCAUGAGAUCAUAUAACUCACUGACACCAGAGGAAUGCUUUGUGUGUAUCAAACGUCGCAACGUAACUGGGUGACUAUAAAGAUGCUCUACAGGUAUCUCCGAAGGUGUUCGUUGAGUUAGUAUGGAUCGAGACUGAGAUUUGUCACUCCGUGUGAUGGAGAGGUAUCUCGGGGCCCACUCGGUAAUACAAUAUCACACACAAGCCUUGCAAGCAAUGUGACUUAGUGUAAGUUGCGGGAUCUUGUAUUACGGGACGAGUAAAUAGACUUGCCGGUAAACGAGAUUGAAAUAGGUAUGCGGAUACUGACGAUCGAAUCUCGGGCAAGUAACAUGCCGAAGGACAAAGGGAAUGACAUACGGGAUUAUAUGAAUCCUUGGCACUGAGGUUCAAACGAUAAGAUCUUCGUAGAAUAUGUGGGAUCCAAUAUGGGCAUCCAGGUCCCGCUAUUGGAUAUUGACCGAGGAGUCACUCGGGUCAUGUCUACAUAGUUCUCGGACCCGCAGGGUCUGCACACUUAAGGUUCGAUGUUGUUUUAUGCGUAUUUGAGUUAUAUGGUUGGUUACCGAAUGUUGUUUGGAGUCCCGGAUGAGAUCACGGACGUCACGAGGUUUUCCGGAAUGGUCCGGAAACGAAGAUUGAUAUAUAGGAUGACCUCAUUUGAUUAUCGGAAGGUUUUCGGAGUUACCGGGAAUGUACCGGGAAUGACGAAUGGGUUCCGGGUGUUCACCGGGGGGCAACCCACCCCGGGGAAGCCCAUAGGCCUUGGGAGUGGCGCACCAGCCCUUGGUGGGCUGGUGGGAUAGCCCAGGAGGGCCCUAUGCGCCAAGGAUAGAAAAUCAAAGAGAAAGAAAAAAAGGAGGUGGGAAAGGAGAGAAGGACUCCACUUUCCAAUCCUAGUUGGACUAGGAUUGGAGGAGGACUCCUCCUCCCCUUGGUGCGCCUUGAGCCUCAAGGCAAGCCUCCCCUCCCUCCUCCUAUAUAUAUGGAGCAGUUAGGGCUGAUUUGAGAUAACUUUUCAAAGGCAGCCCGACCACAUACCUCCACGGUUUUACCUCUAGAUCGCGUUUCUGCGGAGCUCGGGCGGAGCCCUGCCGAGAUCAGAUCACCACCAACCUCCGGAGCGCCGUCACGCUGCCGGAGAACUCAUCUACCUCUCCGUAUCUCUUCUGGAUCAAGAAGGCCGAGAUCAUCGUCGAGAUGUACGUGUGCUGAACGCGGAGGUCCCGUCCGUUCGGCACUAGAUCGUGGGACGGAUCGCGGGACGGUUCGUGGGAUGGUUCGCGGGGCGGAUCGAGGGACGUGAGGACGUUCCACUACAUCAACCGCGUUCACUAAUGCUUCUGAUGUGCGAUCUACAAGGGUACGUAGAUCGGAAAUCCCCUCUCGUAGUUGAACAUCACCAUGAUAGGUCUUCGUGCGCGUAGGAAUUUUUUUUGUUUCCCAUGCGACGUUCCCCAUCAGUGGCAUCAUGAGCUAGGUUCAUGCGUAGAUGUCUUCUCGAGUAGAACACAAAAGUUUUUGUGGGCGGUGAUGUGCGUUUUUCUGCCCUCCUUAGUCUUUUCUUGAUUCCGCGGUAUUGUUGGAUUGAAGCGGCUUGGACCGACAUUACUCAUACGCUUACGAGAGACUGGUUUCAUCGCUACGAGUAACCCCCUUUGCUCAAAGAUGACUGACAAGUGUCGGUUUCUCCAACUUUAGUUGAAUCGGAUUUGACCGAGGAGGUCCUUGUAUAAGGUUAAAUAGCAAUUCAUAUAUCUCCGUUGUGGUGUUUGCGUAAGUAAGAUGUGAUCCUACUAGAUACCCAUGGUCACCACGUAAAACAUGCAACAACAAAAUUAGAGGACGUCUAACUUGUUUUUGCAGGGUAUGCUUGUGAUGUGAUAUGGCCAACGAUGUGAUGUGAUAUAUUGGNNNNNNNNNNNNNNNNNNNNNNNNNNNNNNNNNNNNNNNNNNNNNNNNNNNNNNNNNNNNNNNNNNNNNNNNNNNNNNNNNNNNNNNNNNNNNNNNNNNNGUGGCAUCAUGAGCUAGGUUCAUGCGUAGAUGUCUUCUCGAGUAGAACACAAAAGGUUUUGUGGGCGGUGAUGUGCGUUUUGCUUCCCUCCUUAGUCUUUUCUUGAUUCCGCGGCAUUGUUGGAUUGAAGCGGCUUGGACCGACAUUACUCGUACGCUUACGAGAGACUGGUUUCAUCGUUACGAGUAACCCCCUUUGCUCAAAGAUGACUGGCAAGUGACGGUUUCUCCAACUUUAGUUGAAUCGGAUUUGACCGAGGAGGUCCUUGGAUGAGGUUAAAUAGCAACUCAUACAUCUCCGUUGUGGUGUUUGCGUAAGUAAGAUGCGAUCCUACUAGAUACCCUUGGUCACCACGUAAAACUUGCAACAACAAAAUUAGAGGACGUCUAACUUGUUUUUGCAGGGUAUGAUUGUGAUGUGAUAUGGCCAAUGAUGUGAUGUGAUAUAUUGGAUGUAUGAGAUGACCAUGUUGUAAUAGAAAUAUCGACUUGCACGUCGAUGGUACGGCAACCGGCAGGAGCCAUAGGGUUGUCUUUAUACUAACAUAUGUGCUUGCAGAUGCGUUUACUAUUUUGCUAGGAUGUAGCUUUAGUAGUGAUAGCAUAAGUAGCACGACAACCCCGAUGGCGACACGUUGAUGGAUGAUCAUGGUGUGGCGCCGGUGACAAGAAGAUCGUGCCGGUGCUUUGGUGAUGGAGAUCAAGAAGCACGUGAUGAUGGCCAUAUCAUGUCACUUAUGAAUUGCAUGUGAUGUUAAUCCUUUUAUACACCUUAUUUUGCUUAGAACGACGGUAGCAUUAUGAGGUGAUCUCUCACUAAAAUUUCAAGACGAAAUUGUGUUCUCCCCGACUGUGCACCGUUGCUACAGUUCGUCGUUUCGAGACACCACGUGAUGAUCGGGUGUGAUAGACUCAACGUUCACAUACAACGGGUGCAAAACAGUUGCGCACGCGGAACACUCGGGUUAAGCUUGACGAGCCUAGCAUGUGCAGACAUGGCCUCGAAACACAUGAGACCGAAAGAUCGAUCAUGAAUCAUAUAGUUGAUAUGAUUAGCAUAGGGAUGCUUACCACUGAAACUACUCUCGACUCACGUGAUGAUCGGACUUGGGAUAGUGUAAGUGGAUCAUGAACCACUCAAAUGACUAGAGAGAUGUACUUUUUGAGUGGGAGUUUAGCAUAUAAUUUGAUUAAGUUGAACUCUAAUUAUCUUGAACAUAGCCUAAGUCCACUUUGAAUAUAUUUGUUUUGUAGAUCAUGGCUCACGCGACAGUCAUCCUGAAUUUUAAUACGUUCCUAGAGAAAGCUAAGUUGAAAGAUGAUGGAAGCAACUUUGUAGACUGGGCUCGUAAUCUUAAGCUAAUCUUACAAGCUAGGAAGAAGGAUUAUGUCCUUAAUGCUGCGCUAGGAGAUGAACCACCCGCUACGGCUGAUCAGGAUGUUAAGAACGCUUGGUUAGCACGUAAGGAGGACUACUCAAUAGUUCAAUGUGCAGUCUUGUAUGGCUUAGAACCGGGACUUCAACAUCGCUUUGAGCGUCAUGGAGCAUUUGAGAUGUUCCAGGAGUUGGAGUUUAUCUUUCAGAAGAACGCCCGGAUCGAGAGGUAUGAGACCUCCGAUAAAUUCUAUGCUUGCAAGAUGGAGGAAAACUCGUCUGUCAGUGAACAUGUGCUCAAAAUGUCUGGGUACUCAAACCGUCUAGCUGAACUGGGCAUUGAACUCCCGCAAGAAGCUAUCACUGACAGAAUCCUUCAAUCACUGCCGCCAAGCUAUAAAGGGUUUGUGUUGAACUAGAACAUGCGAGGGAUGAACAAGUCUCCCGGCGAGUUGUUUGCGAUGCUGAAAGUCGCAGAGUCUGAACUCCGUAAAGAGCAUCAAGUGUUGAUGGUGAAUAAGACCACUAGUUUCAAGAGAAACGACAAAGGCACGAAGGGCAAUUCGAAGAAGAGCGGCAAACCUGUUGCCAAUCCGCCGAAGAAACCCAAGGCUGGACCUAAGCCUGAAACAGAGUGCUUCUAUUGCAAGGGUAUGUGUCACUCGAAGCGCAAUUGCCCCAAGUAUCUGGCAGAUAAGAAGGCGGGCAAAGAAAAAUCAGGUAUAUUUGAUAUACAUGUUAUUGAUGUGUACUUAACCGGCUCUCAUAGUAGUGCCUGGGUAUUCGAUACCGGUUCUGUUGCUCAUAUUUGCAACUCGAAGCAGGAACUGCGGAAUAGACGAAGGCUGGCGAAAGACGAAGUGACGAUGCGCGUAGGAAACGGUUCCAAGGUUGAUGCAAUCGCCGUCGGCACAGUGUCACUUCAGCUACCAUCGGGAUUAGUGAUGAACUUAAAUCAUUGUUAUUUAGUGCCUGCGUUGACCAUGAACAUUAUAUCUGGAUCUUGUUUAUUGCAAGACGGUUACUCUUUUAAGUCUGAGAAUAAUGGUUGUUCUAUUUCUGUGAGUAACAUCUUUUAUGGUCAUGCACCGAAUGUGAGAGGAUUGUUCAUAUUGAAUCUUGAUAGCGAUACGCAUAUACAUAACAUUGAGACCAAAAGAGUUAGAGUAAACAAUGAUAGCGCCAUAUUUUUGUGGCACUGCCGUUUAGGUCAUAUUGGUGUAAAGCGCAUGAAGAAACUCCAUGCUGAUGGACUUUUGGAGUCACUUGACUUUGAUUCACUUGACACGUGCGAACCAUGUCUCAUGGGCAAGAUGACUAAAACUCCGUUCUCCGGAACAAUGGAGCAUGCAAGUGACUUGUUGGAAAUCAUACAUACCGAUGUGUGUGGACCAAUGAGCGUAGAGGCACACGGUGGAUAUCGUUAUUUUCUUACCUUCACUGACGAUUUAAGUAGAUAUGGUUAUGUCUACUUGAUGAAGCACAAGUCUGAAACAUUUGAAAAGUUCAAGCAAUUUCAGAGUGAAGUGGAAAAUCAUCGUAACAAGAAGAUCAAGUUCCUACGUUCUGAUUGUGGGGGUGAAUAUCUGAGUUUCGAGUUUGGUGCUCACUUAAGACAAUGUGGAAUUGUUUCACAGUUAACACCGCCUGGAACACCAUAGCGUAAUGGUGUGUCCGAACGUCGUAAUCGUACUUUGUUAGAGAUGGUGCGAUCUAUGAUGUCUCUUACUGAUUUGCCGUUAUCAUUUUGGGGUUAUGCAUUAGAAACAGCUGCAUUCACUUUGAAUAGGGCACCAUCAAAAUCCGUUGAGACGACACCAUACGAACUAUGGUAUGGCAAAAGGCCAAAGUUGUCGUUUCUUAAAGUUUGGGGAUGUGAUGCUUAUGUCAAAAAGCUUCAGCCUGAAAAGCUGGAACCCAAAGCGGAAAAGUGCGUCUUCAUAGGUUACCCAAAAGAGAUAGUUGGGUACACCUUCUAUCUCAAAUCCGAGGGCAAAGUGUUUGUUGCUAAAAACGGAGCUUUUCUCGAGAAGGAGUUUCUCUCGAGAGAAUUGAGUGGGAGGAAGAUAGAACUUGACGAGGUUGUCGAACCUCUCAUCCCUCUAGAUGGUGGCGCAGGGCAAGGGGAAACCUCUGUCGUUGCAACGCCGAUUGAGGAGGAAGUUAAUGAUGAUGAUCAUGAAACUCCAGUCCAAGUUUCUGUUGAACCACGCAGGUCGACGAGAUCACGCGCUGCUCCAGAGUGGUACUGUAAUCCCGUCUUAUCAAUCAUGUUGUUAGACAACAAUGAACCUGCAAAUUAUGAAGAAGCAAUGGUGGGCCCAGAUUCCAACAAAUGGCUGGAAGCCAUGAAAUCCGAGAUAGGAUCCAUGUAUGAGAACAAAGUGUGGACUUUGGAGAUACUACCUGAGGGCCGGAAGGCUAUUCAGAAAAAUGGAUCUUUAAGAAGAAGACGGACGCUGACGGUAAUGUGACCGUUUAUAAAGCUCGACUUGUGGCAAAGGUUUUUCACAAGUUCCAGGAGUGGACUAUGAUGAGACUUUCUCACCCGUAGCGAUGCUUAAGUCCGUCAGAAUCAUGUUAGCAAUAGCUGCAUUUUUCGAUUAUGAAAUCUGGCAGAUGGAUGUCAAAACGGCAUUCCUUAACGGUUUCCUUAAGGAAGAGUUGUAUAUGAUGCAACCCGAAGGUUUUGUCGAUCCUAAAAAUGCUGACAAGGUAUGCAAGCUCCAGUGAUCCAUUUAUGGACUGGUGCAAGCAUCUCGGAGUUGGAACAAACGCUUUGAUGAGGUGAUCAAAGCAUUUGGGUUUAUACAAGUGGUUGGAGAAUCUUGUAUUUACAAGAAAGUGAGUGGGAGCUCUGUGGCGUUUCUAAUAUUAUAUGUGGAUGACAUAUUACUGAUUGGAAACAACGUAGAGCUUUUGGAGAGCAUAAAAGGUUACUUGAAUAAAAGUUUCUCUAUGAAGGACCUAGGAGAAGCUGCUUACAUUCUAGGCAUUAAGAUCUAUAGGGAUAGAUCAAAACGCCUGAUAGGACUUUCACAAAGCACAUACCUUGAUAAAGUUUUGAAGAGGUUCAAAAUGGAAUAGUCCAAGAAAGGGUUCUUGCCAGUUUUACAAGGUACGAGAUUGAGUAAGACUCAGUGCCCAGCAACUGAUGAAGAUAGAGAGCAUAUGCGCUCCGUCCCCUAUGCUUCAGCCAUAGGUUCUAUCAUGUAUGCGAUGUCGUGCACUAGACCGGAUGUUAGCCUGGCCAUAAGUAUGGCAGGUAGGUUCCAGAGUAAUCCAGGAGUGGAUCACUGGACAUCGGUCAAGAAUAUCCUGAAGUACCUGAAAAGGACUAAGGAAAUGUUUCUCGUGUAUGGAGGUGACGAAGAGCUCACCGUAAAAGGUUACGUCGAUGCAAGCUUUGACACAGAUCCGGACGACUCUAAGUCGCAAACCGGAUACGUAUUUAUUCUUAAUGGGGGUGCAGUAAGCUGGUGCAGUUCCAAGCAAAGCGUCGUAGCAGAUUCUACAUGUGAAGCAGAGUACAUGGCUGCCUCGGAGGCGGCUAAGGAGGGUGUCUGGAUGAAGCAGUUCAUGACGGAUCUUGGAGUGGUGCCAAGCGCACUGAAUCCAAUAACCUUGUUCUGUGACAACACUGGUGCCAUUGCCUUAGCAAAGGAACCACGGUUUCACAAGAAGACCAGACACAUCAAACGACGCUUCAACCUCAUCCGCGACUACGUCGAGGAAGAGGACGUAAAUAUAUGCAAAGUGCACACGGAUCUGAAUGUAGGAGACCCGCUGACUAAACCUCUCCCACGGCCAAAACAUGAUCGACACCAGAACUGUAUGGGUGUUAGAUUUAUUACAAUGUAAUUCACAUGGUGAUGUGAGGGCUAGAUUAUUGACUCUAGUGCAAGUGGGAGACUGUUGGAAUUAUGCCCUAGAGGCAAUAAUAAAUAUAGUUAUUAUUAUAAUUCCUGUAUCGAGAUAAUAGUUUAUUAUCCAUGCUAUAAUUGUAUUGACUGAAGACUCAUUUACAUGUGUGGAUACAUAGACAAAAAACUGUCCCUAGCAUGCCUCUGGUUGGCUAGCCAGUUGAUCAAUGAUAGUCAGUGUCUUCUGAUUAUGAACAAGGUGUUGUUGCUUGAUAACGGGAUCACGUCAUUGGGAGAAUCACGUGAUGGACUAGACCCAAACUAAUAGACGUAGCAUGUUGAUCGUGUCAUUUUGUUGCUACUGUUUUCUGCGUGUCAAGUAUUCAUUCCUAUGACCAUGAGAUCAUAUAACUCACUGACACCGGAGGAAUGCUUUGUGUGUAUCAAACGUCGCAACAUAACUGGGUGACUAUAAAGAUGCUCUACAGGUAUCUCCGAAGGUGUUAGUUGAGUUAGUAUGGAUCAAGACUGGGAUUUGUCACUCCGUGUGAUGGAGAGGUAUCUCGGGGCCCACUCGGUGAUACAACAUCACACACAAGCCUUGCAAGCAAUGUAACUUAGUGUAAGUUGCGGGAUCUUGUAUUACGGAACGAGUAAAGAGACUUGCUGGUAAACGAGAUUGAAAUAGGUAUGCGGAUACUGACGAUCGAAUCUCGGGCAAGUAACAUACCGAAGGACAAAGGGAAUGGCGUACGGGAUUAUACGAAUCCUUGGCACUGAGGUUCAAACGAUAAGAUCUUCGUAGAAUAUGUAGGAUCCAAUAUGGGCAUCCAGGUCCCGCUAUUGGAUAUUGACCGAGGAGUCUCUCGGGUCAUGUCUACAUAGUUCUCGAACCCGCAGGGUCUGCACACUUAAGGUUCGACGUUGUUUUAUGCGUAUUUGAGUUAUAUGGUUGGUUACCGAAUGUUGUUCGGAGUCCCGGAUGAGAUCACGGACGUCACGAGGGUUUCCGGAAUGGUCCGGAAACGAAGAUUGAUAUAUAGGAUGACCUCAUUUGAUUACCGGAAGGUUUUCAGAGUUACCGGGAAUGACGAAUGGGUUCCGGGAGUUCACCGGGGGGGGGGGGGGCAACCCACCCCGGGGAAGCCCAUAGGCCAUAAGGGUGGCGCACCAGCCCUUAGUGGGCUGGUGGGACAGCCCAAGAGGGCUCUAUGCGCCAAGGAUAAGAAAUCAAAGGAAAAAAAGGAGGAAGUGGGAAGGGAGGGGGACUCCCUCCCACCAAACCUAGUCCAACUCGGUUUGGGGGGGGGGGAGAGUCCUCCCCCUUGGCUCGGCCGACCCCUUGAGGGUCCUUGGACCCCAAGGCAAGGCCCCCCUCCCUCCCACCUAUAUAUACGGAGGUUUUAGGGCUGAUUUGAGACGACUUUUCCACGGCAGCCCGACCACAUACCUCCACGGUUUUUCCUCUAGAUCGCGUUUCUGCGGAGCUCGGGCGGAGCCCUGCUGAGACAAGGUCAUCACCAACCUCCGGAGCACCGUCACGCUGCCGGAGAACUCUUCUACCUCUCCGUCUCUCUUGCUGGAUCAAGAAGGCCGAGAUCAUCGUCGAGCUGUACGUGUGCUGAACGCGGAGGUGCCGUCCGUUCGGUACUAGAUCGUGGGACUAAUCGCGGGAUUGUUCGCGGGGCGGAUCGAGGGACGUGAGGACGUUCCACUACAUCAACCGCGUUCUCUAACGCUUCUGCUGUACGGUCUACAAGGGUACGUAGAUCACUCAUCCCCUCUCGUAGAUGGACAUCACCAUGAUAGGUCUUCGUGCGCGUAGGAAAUUUUUUGUUUCCCAUGCGACGUUCCCCAACAGUGUGGUGGUGGCUUCGGCAAUGGUGGUGGUGGUAGGGUGGCUUCGGCAAUGGUGGUGGUAGUGGUGGUGGCUUCGACAAUGGUGAUGGUGGUAGGGUGGCUUCGGCAAUGGYGAUGGUGGUAGGGUGGCUUCGGCAAAUGGGCGAGUGGUGGUAGGUGGCUUCCGCAAGGGUGGUGGUGGUGGCGGCNNNNNNNNNNNNNNNNNNNNNNNNNNNNNNNNNNNNNNNNNNNNNNNNNNNNNNNNNNNNNNNNNNNNNNNNNNNNNNNNNNNNNNNNNNNNNNNNNNNNAAAGGGAAUAGUAUACGGGAUUAUAUGAACCUUGACAUAGAGGUUCAACCGAUAGAGAUCUUCGUAGAAUAUGUAGAAACCAAUAUGGACAUCCAGGUCCCGCUGUUGGUUAUUGACCAGAGAGUGUCUCAGGUUAUGUCUGCAUAGUUCUCGAACCCGUAGGGUCUGCACACUUAAGGGUCAGUGACGUUUCAGUAUAGUUGAGUUACAGGUGUUUGUGACCGAAGGUUGUUCGGAGUCGCGUAUGAGAUCACAGACGUCACGAUGGUUUCCGUAAUGGUCCGGAAACGAAGAUUGAUAUAUAGGAUGGUUUCAUUUGGUCACCGAAAAGAUUUCGGGCAUUACCGGCAGUGUACCAGGAGUGACGAAUGGGUUCCGGAUGUUCAUCGGGAGGGGCCCACCCACCCAGGAGUGAGCUUAAGAGCCCAAGGGUGGCGCACCAGCCCUUAGUGGGCUGGUGAGGCGAGCCCAAGUGGGCUAUGGUGCUAGGAAAAGAAAACCAGAAAAAGAAAAAAAGAGGGAGGCGGGAAGGAUGAGGAGGACUCCUCCUUCCCCAAACCGAAUUGGAGUUGGAGUCCUCCUCUCCUCUCUCGGCCGGCGCCCUUGAGGCUCCCUUGAGCCUCAAGGCUAGCCCCUCCCCUCCUCCUAUAUAUACUAGAGGUUUUUGGGGUUUUGAGACACACUUUGCCACGUGCAACUCAAACCUCUACCUCGUAGUUACACAAUAAUUAUGGGUCCCAUGGCGCCGCAAACAUUGUGGGAACUUCGGCGACCGGAUACGGGGACCUCGUCAAAACUCGCAAAUUUGGUCCAUUCUGGCCAGUUUUCUAUGCUACUACUCACUAAUUUCGGGUCCCGGGGAGAUCCGAACGUUCGGGGAACUUUGGGGUCCGGUUAUGGGGACAUUAUCAAAACUCGCAGAUUUGGUCCAUUCUAGCCAAUUUUCUAUGCGAUUACUCACUAAUUCAGGGUCCCGUGGUGCUACAGAUGUUCGGGGAAAUUCNNNNNNNNNNNNNNNNNNNNNNNNNNNNNNNNNNNNNNNNNNNNNNNNNNNNNNNNNNNNNNNNNNNNNNNNNNNNNNNNNNNNNNNNNNNNNNNNNNNNAAAGUUGAUUCCCCCACCAAUCCCUUGCGGAUCUUGUUACUCUUGGGUGUUUGAGCAUCCUAGACGGUUGAGGUCACCUCGGAGCCACAUUCCAUUAUGGUGAAGCUUCGUGGUCUUGUUGGGAGCCUCCAAGCUUUGUGUGGAGUUUUCCCCAACCUUGUUUGUAAAGGUUCGGUCGCCGCCUUCAAGGGCACCUAUAGUGGAAUCACGGUACCUUGCAUCGUGUGAGGGCGUGAGGAGAAUACGGUGGCCCUAGUGGCUUAUUGGGGAGCAUUGUGCCUCCACACCGCUCCAACGGAGACGUACUUCCUGUCAAAGGGAAGGAACUUCGAUAACACAUCCUCGUCUUCAUUGGUUCCACUUGUGGUUAUCUCUAACCUUUACUUUGUGUUUGCUUAUGUUGUUGUCCAUCUCUUACUUGUCUUAGUAGCUCUUGUUGUUAGCUUCAUUAUGGUUCACCCCAUUGUUGUUAUUCUUCUGAACCCGUAUGUUGUUUACCCUAACUUGCUAAGAUUAAUUAAAAAGUGGUCGUUGCUUAUUCACCCCCCCCCUCUAGUCAACCAUAUCGAUCCUUUCAAAAGUGCUCUUGAGUACACAUGUGAAUUUCCAUCUAGUCAUGCUCAUCAUGUUGAGUUGAUUCGCGUUUGUUACCUUGAUCAUUUGAUAUGUGCGUGGACCGGUGCUAAGGUGUCGUUCUUACUUGAACAAACAACUCACUUAUGAUUACCCCCUCUCGCAAGGAUCUGCAACUAUGAGAAAACAAUUAUGAUAAAUCAAACGAUAGCAUGAAACAUAUGGAUCCAAAUAAGCUCCUUGUGGAAUAACACAUAAAGUAGGGUUUAAGCUUCUGUCACUUUUGCAACCCAUCAUGUACUAAUUACUCCAUAAUGAAUUCUCUUAGGCUCAAAGUAUGGUGAAGUGUCAUGUAGUUGACGUUUACAUGACACCACUAAAACAAGCAACGACAUUCAUAUCAUUAAAAUAUCGAACGAAUACCAACUUCACAUGAUUACUUAUAACAAGACUUCUCCCAUAUCCUCGAGAACAAAAGUAACUACUCACAAAUCAUCACCAUGUUCAAAACCAAAGGUGUAAUAAAUAUGAUAAAGGAUCUGAGCAUAUUAUCUUCCACCAAGUAAACCCGCAAGCAUCAACUACAAGAUGUAAUGAACGCUACUAGAAACCCCCAGGUACCAAUCUAAGGUUUUGAGACAAAGAUUGAAUACAAGAUAUGAACUAGGGUUUGAUAUGAGAUGGUGCUGGCGAAGAUGUUAAUGAAGUUUGGUCCUCCCAUGAAGGAGGAAGCGUUGGUGAUGACGAUGGCUUCAAUUUCCCCCUCUGAGACGGAAGUUUCCCCAGUAAAAUUUCUCUCUCGGAGAGUGAAAGGGCUCCUCCCUACGUUUUCUCCUUGAGACGGCGGUGCAUCGUCCUGAAAGUAUCCUUCUGAUUUGUUCUAGGUAGAAAUCCUUCAUAUAGUAGAAGAGGGGGGCUAGGCCUGACUGUGGGCUUCCCAAGCCAUGAGGACGCGUCGAGGGGGUGGUCGCGCCCUGAUCACUUGGGAGCCACAGGUGGCCCCCCUAUGGCACUUCUUUGCUUCAUAAAUUCACAUGUAUUUCACGAAAAAUCCUUGUGAAGUUUCAGGUCAUUUGGAGUCCACAGAAAUUUCAGCCAUUUUCUUGGUUUUCUGGUCCAGAAUUCCAGUUUCCGAUAAUCUCCCUCUUUGUGAAUAUACCUUGUAAAUUAAGAGAGAAAGGCAUUAGAAUUGUAUCAUAAAAUAGAAUAAUGUCCAAAAACAAUAUAAAUUUCAAUUAGAAAUCAUGAUGCAAAAUGGAUGUAUCACGCCUCUUGAUCAACAACUCCUCCCUCGGGCAAUCAUAUGUGAUAUGUGAUGUCCACAAAUCUAGAAACUCAUCCAAAACACAAAACCCUAGCCUCCGAUAGGCAUUUGAAGGAUGAAUUGGUAGAGCGGGGAUCGCCAUCACCACCAUAUUGUGAAAAGGGACGUCGACAUUUGUCAUUUUCAUCAUCAUCUUCAUCGCCAUCCAUAUCCAUCUUAUUGCAAUAUCGAACCUCUUGUGGAUCAUUACAUGUAUUUACUGCAUGCAAGAUGUGCAUUGGGGAGAUGCAGUUGAUUUGCUUGACCAAAGUUUAAGUUAAGUAGGUGCGCCAUUCUCGUUUUGUCCAUUUGAAUGUUAUCAUGCAUGUAGCAUGAUAACCAUUAUGUAUCAUACUCAUUUUUGGGCACUCGUCCUAUAUACGUUUAUUGGUAAUUAUCUAUGACAACUUACUCGCAUCAUCGUGAGCAUAUUUUUAAGUGGGCCGCACCAAUUCUUGUCCCAUAUAAAACCUCGGGUAUUAAAAUGUGCAAAUUAUGAGGUUGUGCUAAACUAUGCAUAAUACCUCCCUAUAAUAUUCUUGUUUUAGUUUAUGCUCAGCGAAUUUGAUUUGUUGCAAGUCAUUGUAUUGUUAUGGCAAUUCAAGAAACCAAUGGAAAAGGAGUUGAUUUUUCUCUUCGAUGGCACUACAUGAGAGUCUAAGGAACCCCCCCCCACCCCCACCCCACCCUCGGUCCUACAUGUCACUCUACUAUGGUGACUCAUGAGAUCCCUAUUCGUCCACGGUAGGGUCCCCUUCCCCCUCGAUGCAUCGCCGCCACUAGAGGCGUCCGCGGACAAAGCUAGCCCAUGCAAGUUUCAUGGGCGGUGAGAAAAAGUAAUUGUUUAUGUUGGUAAGGUGACAAGUGAGGUUGUGUCCAACGCAGUGCUCAGGAUGCCAAUGGUUCUUUUGAGAAAACUUGCACCAUGUUAGCGACACACGGAUAAAAAACUACAGUAACCGUUGGUGUUAUUGGGUUCUUAUAAUGUCUUUACUCCCUUUAUUUCAAAAUAUUAGAUACAUUAGUUUUUGAAAAGCCAAACCUCUUGAAGUUCGAUUAUUUUGAAGAGAAAUAUAUCAAUGUCGAUAAUAUCAAAUCGGUGUCAUUCAAUUCAUCAUAAGAUAAAUUUCCAUAUUUCAUCAAUGUUGAUAAUAUUUCAUUUACUCCCUUUAUGGAUGUCAUUAUUUUUGGCUCUAAACUUGGUCGAUAUUAAAGAGUUCUCUUUUAAAAAAAACUUAUAUUUUGGGACCAACGGAGCAUUUCAUUUGGCGAGUUGAGAAAUGAUGGAGUAGUGGAUAUCAUUUCUCUGUAGAUCAUUUACAGUAAACGGAAAAACACAUCACUUGCAUGGUUGCAUGUUCAAACUUCAGGCCAUGAGCAAGAAUUCCAUGUACCAUUAGUUUACUGUAAUCACAUGGGAACAGAGUGGAGACAAACUAAAACAAAAAGAGGCGCCACCAUGCCUCAACUCCAAACACAAGAUUUUUAUUCUCACCAAAGAACAAAAAGCAACAACACUCGUGCACGUGAGAAGCAUCAUUCCCAGUCUUUGAAGUACUACAAAUCAAACAUUUACUAUUACUUCAUCAAGACAUCUGCGGCUCAUCAUGGAUAAACCUGGUUGGUUCAUCAACUAAAUCAUCAUGACACGGAUUAACUGUAUGUUAGAGUUGUGUCGAAUAUUCUUGUACAAGGUAGGUUACAGUUGGACUCUGAGUAGUAUUGUGUUUAGACAGGAUAUGGAGUCGUGUCCUGAUAGGACACUUGUAUCCUAGUCCUCUCAUAUAUAGCGGGGGUAGACACACGAUGUAACCCAUGCCAACAUAAUAGCACGGGUGCGCGGGGGAGCCGGCGACGUGUGUCGGUGCCCGGGCGGCCGAGGUGCGGUAUUGUGACGGUGUCACGGGGAGGAGCGCCCGUAGUCAGGCCCCGGGGAUGUAGCCAUAUCGGUGAACCUCGUUAACAAAUCUCGGUGUCGUGCUUGUGUGAUUGCUUGGUCCUCGGUUGAUCAACGAAGUGCCUCGAAUUAUUGUAACAAGUGGUAUCAUGAACAAGGUUCGAAGAAAUUGUGGUUGUUAAUCUAGAGACAAGGAAGAAAAUAUCUAUGAAAUUCUGCGGGAUGAUCAUUGAAGCAGAAGGAAAUUGGCGUGGAUCGUCGAUGAGUUGCUGCGGACACGGUCUGGAACAGAUGGAUUCGUGGUGAUAUUAUUUUCAAGGAAGCAAUCGGAAGCAGGAAGAGGAUGCAGAUCGGUUUUCAGCGGCGGCGUAACAUACGUGCAGCCAGCGCUUCGGGGCUGAUCGGAUAGAUUUGAUCCGGUUGGGCACCUAGCGACGGUGGCACUCGGAUCGCUACGGAGCCGCGUAUGCAGGCAGACCAGCUAGGGCAGGCAGCGUGUCCUGUAGGGCAGCAGCAUGUUGCCCAGGUUCAGGUGGCGUGAAGGGCAGGCAGCCCAAGCAUGGGGCCUAAGACGUGAGGCUCUAUCAGCUGGUGGGUAGGCCGGCGAGGCUGGACGAGGCCCAGGCGCGGUGCCGUUGUGUUGCAGAUGGCUGGCUGUAAGUUGUGGACGUGGCGAUGUACUGCAUAGCUGUGACACGAGUUUUGUUGGGGAAAAAGGAAUGCGUCUGGACUCAUAGAUGCACGUUGAAUGCUGGUGUUGACCAUCUUGAGCAAGGUCAGCGAGAGGCGAAUCAGUCUAAACGCUACAAGCAUGCAUGGAAACAUGAUGGAGUUUGAAUCUCUACGAUUGUGUGCAUAUGGAAAGUCUACUACAGGGAUUUCCUCAUUGUCUCCUUGCUUGGUACACCUACAGUUUACGUACAAGAUGACGACGUGCGUAUAUGGCUCGGAGGAGUCUGGAGCGCGUUGUGGCAUACAUAUGGUGUCAAGUAAUGCAUGGGGAUGUGCGGGCGGAUAUGACGCAAGGUGGAGCAUGGUUGCAGUUCGAUAUUUUCGGCUGAGUCGGACUGGACUGUCUGACGGAUCGACGUGAUGUCGAUCAAAGCAGAAGAAGGCGGUGAUUUCAGCGACGACGACAUAGGAGCGUGAUGCUGAUGGUGGUCGACUUCUGGGGCGUGGAAACACGUGGUGCAGGUCUGAGGGCUUGUGCGGCUUAAACAGACUAUGACGCAUGGUUGAUUCAAGACAGUGCACACAUGAGAGCUUGAAGUCGACAGGGCGCGAGGUAGCACGGCCAGCUACAUGGAGUCAUGUUGAAGGUGGAGCUGGAGUCUAGCGAAAGACUUCACUCUGUGCUGAUGGAGGGGCUACGGCGUAAGAAUUCGGAGAAUCGUAGCCUAUUUCAGUGGGAUAGCGAGAGACACGUGGAUUGGACUGUGUACCAGUCGUCUGAUGGAGACGUGAUACUCGGCAUCGGUCGGUGAUGAUCGGUGGUUCUCUGCAGUGGGGGUUGAGUGGUGUGGGUUCGCGACCUUGGAAAACUUGAACAUGACAGCAGAGGCUCGACGCGGUGAUAGUGACGAGGUGUGCGGUAAGCACGGGACACAGCUACAGAACAAGGCACUGGUGGUCAGACAUGUUGUCAGACAAAGUGUGUAAAGGGUGCUGAAGCAGUGUUGACGAGUACCAGAUUGAAGUUGAUGACUGGGUCUAUCGGUGCUAGUUGAUGGACAGGAGUUGACCAUAAAGAAUCUGAGAAAGUGACAGAAAGUCUAAAUUGUCAUAAGCGAAGAAAGUACAUGGCCGCAUAUGUUGUGGUGUUUAGUGCACAUGGGAAGGUGCAUAUGACAAGUACAGAAGGAGGCGGAGUGCUAUAGCUUUGGGACAUUGUCAGAGACUAUCCGGGAAAAGGAUGAGACAACUGCGAAUUUGACUCCGGGGUGACACACGGCGACGGUGAAAUUCUUUCAACUUUUAGAUAGACGGUCAAGGAAGAGCGAGGAUGUUAAGUUCAGAUAACUCUUAUACGUGGCAUCCAAUAUGUGGGUUAUUCACUUUCAUGUAGGUCAGUGAUCAGUGUGUGAUGACGUUGAAGGGAUAACUCUUAUACGUGGCAUCCAAUAAGGAACUUAACUUUGCUCGAGGGUUGACUGUGAAGAAGACGAGAAGGGACUACAGUUGCAGGUGGAGUCACAUGGAGUCUGGGAGUAGCAGUGGUGCUCAUGGCGUAUCUCAAGUCCAAUGUACAUGAAAGUUUGACCCAUGGAUGAACUCAAGGUGGCGGAGAAUAUUCGCCAAGGUGGAGUUUGUUAGAGUUGUGUCGAAUAUUCUUGUACAAGGUAGGUUACAGUUGGACUCUGAUUAGUAUUGUGUUUAGACAGGAUAUGGAGUCGUGUCCUGAUAGGACACUUGUAUCCUAGUCCUCUCAUAUAUAGCGGGGGUAGACACACGAUGUAACCCAUGCCAACAUAAUAGCACGGGUGCGCGGGGGAGCCGGCGACGUGUGUCGGUGCCCGGGCGGCCGAGGUGCGGUAUUGUGACGGUGUCACGGGGAGGAACGCCCGUAGUCAGGCCCCGGGGAUGUAGCCAUAUCGGUGAACCUCGUUAACAAAUCUCGGUGUCGUGCUUGUGUGAUUGCUUGGUCCUCGGUUGAUCAACGAAGUGCCUCGGAUUAUUCUAACACAUCACUUGCAUGGUUGCAUGUUCAAACUUCAGGCCAUGAGCAAGAAUUCCAUGUACCAUUAGUUUACUGUAUCACAUGGGAACAGAGUGGAGACAAACUAAAACAAAAAGAGGCGCCACCAUGCCUCAACUCCAAACACAAGAUUUUUAUUCUCACCAAAGAAUAAAAAGCAACAACACUCGUGCACGUGAGAAGCAUCAUUCCCAGUCUUUGAAGUACUACAAAUCAAACAUUUACUAUUACUUCAUCAAGACAUCUGCGGCUCAUCAUGGAUAAACCUGGUUGGUUCAUCGACUAAAUCAUCAUGACACGGAUUAACUGUCAUUGACUGAACUCGGCCUUUGGACAAGUGAAACUAUGACUACACAAGAAUAGCACCACCACGACCACUGGGCCGCUCUGCUCACCAAGUCAGCUACUCUGCUACUCUGCUACUGCUAAAAAAUGAGAAGCACACACUAGUUUUGCAAUUGUAAAUUAAACCUGGCUGUUUCAUCAACACAUCAUCAUCACACAGAGUAACAGCAAUGUAGUACAGAACUUAGUCGUUGUUUCAUCAUCACAUAAUAGAUUGACUGCCAUCUACUGAACUUUAGUCCUUGCACAACUGAAAGUCUGAAACUGGGACUGGAAGAACUAGCUACCAGAAGUCUUCUUCUUCUACUGGUGCCACCACACAAAGCAGCAGACUACACUAGCUAACACUAACAGCAACUAAGCUAAGCAACACCUCCAGCAUGCAAGAAAGCAAACAAGUUUGUUUCUUGCUACUACAUUCCUUCCAAGCAUCAUCCACUUCCCUCCAAAAUAACCAACCACCAAUAACUGAAUCGGUCACAAGGUUAAGAGUUACCCAUUUUGCAGCCAGCUGAAACUGAAUGUGGGAUGAUCAGAGCAGGAUGUCGGCCUUGGAUGGCAGCCUCCGGAAGAAGUUCAUCAGCGGGGACGGCAUCCGGCUGCGGAACCUCGGCGGGCGCAUGGCGUAGAGGCCCCACAGCCCGAUCAGCAACUUCAUCGGCACAGCAUAAGCAAUGACCGCAGCAACAACACAGGCAACCGAGAAGAGCAUCGUCGCCCUCGGGUCGCGCCAGCUGAGCACCGCCUGCAUCCGCUCGCCCUGCGUCGCAAUGUCACCGACCACCGUCUGCACCCUCCCCGCCACGCUGCGGAGGCGGUCGUACCUGAAGCGCACAGCAUCGCCACGGCUCGAAGGGAACGUGUCGAACUCCUCGUCCAGCUCGUCGACGGUGGCCGCGUCCGCGUGGGACAACCGCAUGUCCAUGUGGGGCGGGUGCCUCGGGCGCACGCGGUACCUCCAGAGCCCGGUGAUCGCCAUCACCAGGAACGCCGUCGGCAGGAUCAGCUCCGGCAUCAGGACGAACACCAAGAACGUGAAGACGGCAACGCAGGAAUGCACCGGGUAAUGCCAGGAGCGAACCAGCUCGAACCACCUGCCAACCGCCAUCACACCGGAGAGCACGGAGACAAGGCGAAAGAAGUUGGCCUUGCUGCGCCGCAUGCUCCACAGAUGUGAACGGUGAUCCAGCAUGUACUCGACGACCUCUUUGCCGAGUGGCGGCUCGGUGCGGCCAAGCCGGGCAGCGACGACACUCGUGGCCUGGAACCGCAGGCUCUCGACCUGCCGCACCAGCAGCGGCUCGAUGUAGUGCAUCUUGGGGAGCAUCGGGCGAGCAUAGGCAUGGUACAUGUUGCCGGCAUUGCUGGAGCAGAAGCGCACGGCCAGGUGGAGCUCCCCCAUCUUCUUGACACCAGACGGAUGCAGCAUCAGCAGUGGGUAGGCAUGAGUGUACACCCUGUCGGUCUCCAGUGUCGAGAGCCUGAUACGGACCUUGCCGAUGCAGUUGUCACGGACGGCCACCGUGGUGUUGUUCCCUGAUGCCGGCUUGUCCACAUGGCAGUUGUCGAACACGCCGACGGUGAUCACGGUGCAGGGGUCGAACACCUCCCAGGUGUACUGCUCGUUCCACCGGGGGCACACCGAGUCGACGACGGUGCGCGUGCGGAUCCACUUCUGGCCAUACUUUGCGACGCAAUAUGAAUCUGCCGUCGCGCCCCUGCCAUCGGCCCGGCCCUUCAUUGGUAUCAGUCCAGUGGCACCGAGCACGCCGAGCUCGAGCACCCCGACAUGCGGGUACCACAGCUGCUUUGCCGUCGGCCGGAGAUCACUGCUGUACGCCGUUGCCUCAUCCAGAACAUGGUAACCGCCGUCGAGACUUAGCCGGAGAUGCACCCGGCUCCCGAACCUGUUCGGGUUGUUGACGGCGACAUUGCCGCCGCCACCGGCGCGGUCCAGCCCAAACCACCUGGAGACAACAAGCUUCUCAUCCCAGCGCCUCUCAAUGGCAGACACCGGAACGACGAGGCGGCCGAGGAUGUCAUCCCUGCCCGGCGACACAUGAUCCUCCAGAGAGACCACCAAGAACUCCUCAAAUGGCUCGGCAACCACAAACAUCAGGUCCUCGUUCCAGAACGGGCUCGUCGGCCCCCGGUUCGCCAUGAUCGGCGACGCUCGUGUGCGCAGCAUCUGGCUCCCAAUCUGCGCGCGCACGAAGAGCUCCGGGUACCGGCCCGUCGCCAUGGGGCCCUUGUCCAUGGGGAGCAGGUCCUGCGCCUCGAUGACGGACACACGGAGGUACCAGAGCUUGGGGGCGACGUACACCUUGGACUUGAUGGAUCCCAGGGGGCCGUGGCCCUGGACGCCGGCGGCCUUGGAGUGCCACGCCUCGGCGAAGGCCUCGUCGGCCUGCGUGCCGUACCAAACGGCGACCAUCAGCUCCACGCUACCGCGCUCGCCCUUGCGGUCCUCCAUGGCGUACCACUGCGGCGCCAGCGUGCUGUCCGGUGGCGCGCGGCGGGGCACCUCGGAGAGGUCGAACCAGAUGCGGCCGACGUGGUCGUCGCUGCCGCGUGCGCGCACGAAGACCUCGACGAACGAGGACUGGAUGGUCUCCUUGGAGAAGGCGAAGACCUGGUCCCACUGGUGCGCGGCGGCCGGCGGCGUGACGCCGCGGUAGUUCCCGAGCUUGACCUCCGCCACGGCCUCCCCGGGCGUGGCCACGCCGCGCGCGCGCACGACGCGCACGUACAGGUACUGCAUCUGCUCGACCAGGUCGUAGGUGGCGCUCGCCUUGUCGGCCGUCAGCCCGCCGCCGAGGUGUGGCCGCGUCUCCUUGAGGGAGAAGUCCGCGGGCCCGCCGGGGAACAUGGCCGGGACGGGGUAGUGGUCGGCGAGCAUGACCGGCUUCAUGGCCGCCGGCUGCGGCUGCGGCUGCGGCAUGACGUCCAUGGGCUGCUGGGGCUGCUGCGGCGGCUGCUGCGGCCGCGCGGCCACCACCGGCUGUUGGUGCUGGUGAUGCUGGUGAUGCUGCUGCUGCUGGUGGUGAUGCUUCUUGCCCCCAUUCACAGGCGGCGCGGCGACGACCUCGGGCCCACUCACCACCGCCUUGGCCGGCUUCUCCUGCUUGCCCUUGGCGACCACCUCCCCAGCCCCGGCGCCGGCGCGGUAAAUCUUGAGCGUGAUCUCGCCGCGGAUAUGCGAGAAGAGGCUGCGCUUCUCGAGCGUGAAGAGCUGCGGCACGACGGGCUCCCCAGGCGCGGGCACGCCGGCGGCGGGGACGCGCACCUUGCCGAGGAAGUUGCGGCCGUGGGGGCCGCUCCCGGAGGCGGAGGCGGAGGCGGCGCGGUCGUUGUAGACGGCGACGUCGAUGGCGCGGUAGGGGAGGUCGUCGGGGUCGGCGACGGGGAAGACGAGGCGCUCGUUCCAGACGGGGUUGAGCUCCCUGGGCCUGGGCCUGGUGCGGCGCUUCUGGUGCUCGAACUCCACCUCCACGUAGGCCGACGAGGAGCCCUGCCCGUCCUUGGGCAUCAGGUUGUGCGCCGCCACCACCUCCACCACCAGCCUCUCCGCCUUGGCCAUCGCUCCCCUCACCAAGAUUCAAACUCGCUCGGAGAACGGAGGAGGGAGAAGAGGAGGGUUCUUGCUGUGGGUUGGGGAAUGGAUGGAUGGAUGGCUAUGCGGGGAACGAGGUGGUGGAGGAGGAGGCGGGCGCGCGUGGUGGAAUCUCCAUCAUCAUCGCAGUCGAUGGGGAGGGGAGAGGGGGGUUGGGCUGCUGCUGCUGCUGCUCUGCUCGGUGCUGCUGCAGCUCGGGUGGUGGUGGUGGUGCUCUGCUGCGGUUGGCUUUGGCUUUGGGUGGUUUUUGAGGCGGGGUUUUGGCGUUUGGGUUUGGGCUGCUCUUCAACGCGGCCAUCUUUCUUCUUUGGAAGGCGGAAAAGUGGGGAUUUGAUAUGCGAAUUAACCCAGCGAAAUUAAUCCAUUCAUCAAUUGGUACCAAGAUCUCAUAGUAACGGGCCUAACGGCUAAUCAAUCCGUGCUUCAAAAAGUCAGCCCUUCAUCCAAUUUUGGAGAUUCAGCAUCUCUUUAAAAAAAUACUCGUUCUGUAAAUUAAUACUCCAUCUGUAAAAUAUGAAGUUAUCCUUGUUAUUUUGCUAAGAUAGAUAUGUCUCGUUUGGUUAUGUUCCUCGUGAAUAUUAACUUGUGGUAAAAUAAGAAAUUAUCUUUAUUAUUUUGUCAAAUAGUUUCUAUGCUUAAUUGAUUUUAUUAAGAUAGAUAUAUGUUCUUUUUAGUUUAACUUUACCAUUCUUGUUAGCCAGCACUUAUCCUUCAUGGCUUCAAUAACAAGAAGUUUACUACCAUCGUCUUGUAUAUUCCAUCACAUUGUGGAGUAUGUGUGUUGGUUAUUGUAUUAGAGUCGAUUUACAUCUUAUAUUUCCAUUUGACAACAGAAAUAGAGUCAUAAUGAUUAUCAAACUAAAUUCAACGAAGGACUCCACUACGGAGCGGCGCCGCACAUGUGCGCUCCCGUGCGGCGGCAGGUUGCCAGCCUGGCCUGUCUUUUUUCAACUCUUCCUCCCGAUCCCAGCAGCUUCUUUUUUUGUCUCAUACACUUGUUUCCAUAAAUAUCUUCCCACACCACCAUCAAUCCCACAACCACCCCAGAUCCCCCACCCCGUAAUCCCUCCCGUCUUCUUCCUCCCUCCCCAAUAGCCUCCACUGGCGUAAAAACAAGAUCUGAAGGGCGGAAAACAACAGAACAAGCAGCAAAAAAGAUGACAUCUCGAGUGAUCCAAGUUAUAAACUUACGGAAAUCAAAAAUAACAGGUACACAAAGUAGCAAAAAUAACAGGUACGCAAGUGCCUCGUCCCAGGUCCCUUGCAAGAAACAUGAAUCUACUUACAAAUUACUGCCCCUUAAUUCUUGCACAAAGAAAAUCCUACGGAAAAUCUCUUGUUUCUCCCCCAAAACAGAACUUCUCUUUUCUGCCCCUCAGAUAUGCACCUCUCUUUCUCCCUUCGGAUCUUCAUCAUCUGAUUUGCUUUUCAAUUCCUGUUCCAGAACAAAAAAAAUCGGAAAAAAAUUAGCUAAUAUAUUGUCUUCGUAUCACACAAAAACAUGCAGGGAGGAAGGACUUCCCAAGAAACAACAAGGGACACGCCACAUAAAAGAUGGAUUCUUACAUUCUAGCUGCUCAUGACACAGGUUUGUUCCCCCCUCCCUAGAGUUUCCAAUUUAUUUGUACCACCACCACCAUCUAGUUGUAUUUUUGCUGCUACCGUAAUUCCUUAAAAAAGGCCUUCAAGCCUAAUCACUAACUUAACAAGUCUUUUUAUGUUCUCUGCUAUUUCACACCUAGUUGCUGCAUAGAAAAUGCAGUAGUUGUUAGUAUAAUUGUGCCUAGUUUAUAAGAAAACAAAAUGCCAAUUUCUUUUGUUGGUUGUUGAAUAACUCCAUGCACCUAGUUGUCAGAAAAAAUGUGCCUAGUUACCAUGAAAAAAUGGCAGUUCCUUUCUUGCUACUUAAAAUGUUGGUUUCAUGUAGAAUAUCCUAUAAAAAAAUACCAAAAAUGGCAAUACCAAAGGUUCUGAAUACACAAAAUGUUUUCUAGUUUACCAUGAAAAAAAACUGGAUUAUUUCAAAAUACUUUGUUCCUAAUAGUUGUGCAAAAAUACAUAUUUCACAUGCCUCCCUGUUUUGAAAAAGAUGUACCUGAUUACCAGUUUUGAAGAAAAAGAUGCACAAUUGUGAGUUUCUAAAAAAAUGUUACUAAAUUGGUUAUGUGUGUUAUGCAGAUUGUGAGACUAUUAGUGCAUGACACACUGUGUUACAACAACCGGCAAACACAGAGCAGACGUUGGAUGCAUCAUCUAAUCGCACACCAAAUGAUGAUAAUGCAAAUGAGGAUGAAGGCAUAUCGGAGGUGAUGUCCAUGCCACAGCAACCCACAACCACGAUGAGGUUUGACACUCUUGAGGAUGCUGAAAAACACUACAAAAUGUAUGCGAGGCAGAAAGGGUUUAGAGUGAGGUACUUUUUCAGAGAAAAAAAAGUCAGAGGCGAGUGGUGAACUAAUAAGAGCAUCCCUUGUGUGCCAUACAGCUGGGAUGAAGAUCAAGAAGAAAGUAGACACCCAAAACCUGCAACCUAUUGCCCCUGAGAGGUGGAGGAAUACAACUGAAGGAACAAACUGCACGACCCGUAUGUUUGUCAAGCGAAGAGAUAAUUCCUGGGUUGUUACAGAAAUAAAUGACGACCAUAACCACCCUCUCAUCAAGAAGUUGUUGCUGACACGGUACCUAUGAUCACAUAGACAUAUCCCCGAAGAAGAAGAACAGUUUGUGAAGUUGCUUCAUUUGUGCAAUCUGGAACCUUUUAGACAUAUGCCGUUUUUGACAAAGUUGCAUGGCCAACGUGAAGCAAUUGGUUACACUCACAAAGACUUGGCAAACUUGCUGGCAAAGUUUCGGGCUAAGCAUAAAUAAAGUGAUAUGCAGGACAGAAUUGAGUACUUUAAGGGAAAGCAACAACUUGACAAAGACUUAUUUUUCAAGUACAAGCUUGAUGAUGAUGAUAAGGUCCAAUGCAUUUAUUGGAUUGAUGGUUCAGCGAGAAGGGCUUGCAAGUUUUUCAGUGAUUGUGUCUCUUUUGACACAACAUAUUUGACAAAUAUAUACAAGAUGCCUUGUGCCCCAUUUAUUGGUAUAAACAACCAUGGACAGUCAAUUCAGUUUGGUUGUGGUUUUGUUAGGAAUUAGUUAUCGACAAGCUUCGUUUGGCUAUUUGAGACAUUCCUAGAAGCAAUGGGUGGUUUGGCCUCAACCAAUAUCAUAACAGACCAAGAUUAUGCCAUGAGGUCUGGUAUGUUUUUCCGAAUACAACGCAUCGAAAUUGUCCUUGGCAUAUAAUGCAAAAUGCUACCGAGAAGCCUAGUCCGUUCCUAGAGAAACACCCAGAGUUGCAAACCAAGUUCAAUGACCGUGUAAAUGACAGCUACACUCCUGAGGAGUUUGAAGCAAGGUGGAUUGCAAUGAUUCAGCAACAUGGGGUUGCAGAACACCCAAACUUUGUUUAUUUGUAUGAGAAACGAACAUGUUGGGUGCCCGCAUACUUUAUGCACAAGUUCUACCCCUUUCUCCAGACCACGCAAAGGAGUGAAGGCUUCAAUGUUGCGCUCAAAAAGUAUGUCAACCCACAAAACUCAACAAUGGACUUUAUUCGCCAAUAUGCUGCCAUACAAGAGAAGAUAAUGUGUGCUGAGAAGAAGCGGGAUGAAGACACAACAAUCACAACAGCUAGGAAGUGAAGUUACAACCCAAUUGAGCUCCAAAUGUAAACUAUCUAUACGCGCAAUAUGUUUGUUAGGUUCCACGGGGAGAUGCAGUCACUGUUGCCGUAGAGCUGUAAGCAGACACGUGCCCAGGAAUACAUGGAUGAGUGUAUUGCUAAGUUUGUCCCGGGGUACAGCGAUAAGUCCUUUAAGGUACAUGCGAGUUUUUAAGAAGGGGUGUAUAUGUGUGAAUGAUGCAAGUAUGAGCGUGAUGGGAUCGUCUGUUGCCAUAUACUAAGGGUAAAACACACAAAUUAUACGCACAUUUUGUUGGGGAACGUUGCAUGAAAAACAAAAAAUUCCUACGCACAUGAAGACCUAUUAUGGUGAUGUCCAUCUACGAGUGGAGAUUAGAUCUACAUACCCUUGUAGAUCGUUCAGCGGGAAGCGUUAAGAAACGUAGUUGAUAUAGUGGAACGUCUUCACGUCCUUCGAACCGCCCCAUUACGCUGUAGUGUUCCAGGCGGUGUCAACUGUGAAACAAUUCCACAUUGUCUUAAGUGAGCACCAAACUCGAAACUCAGAUAUUCACCCCCACGAUCAGACCGUAGGAACUUGAUCUUCUUGUUACGAUGAUUUUCAACUUCACUCUGAAAUUGCUUGAACUUUUCAAAUGUUUCAGACUUGUGCUUCAUUAAGUAGACAUAACCAUAUCUACUCAAAUCGUCAAUGAAGGUGAGAAAAUAACGAUAUCCGCUGCGUGCCUCCACGCUCAUCGGACCGCACACAUCGGUAUGUAUGAUUUCCAAUAAGUCACUGGCACGCUCCAUUGUUCCGGAGAACGGAGUUUUAGUCAUCUUGCCCAUGAGGCAUGGUUCGCACGUGUCAAGUGAAUAAAAGUCAAGUGACUCCAAAAGUCCAUCGGUAUGGAGUUUCUUCAUGCUUUACACCAAUAUGACCUAAGCGGCAGUGCCACAAAAACAUGGCGCUAUCAUUGUUAACUCUAACUCUUUUGGUCUCAAUGUUAUGUAUAUGUGUAUCACUAUCAAGAUUCAAUAUGAACAAUCCUCUCACAUUGGGUGCAUGACCAUAAAAGAUGUUACUCAUAGAAAUAGAACAACCAUUAUUCUCUGACUUAAAAUAGUAACCGUCUCGCAAUAAACAAGAUCCAGAUAUAAUGUUCAUGCUCAACGCAGGCACUAAAUAACAAUUAUUCAAGUUCAUAACUAAUCCCGAUGGUAACUGAAGUGAAACUGUGCCGACGGCGAUUGUAUCAACCUUGGAACCAUUUCCUACGUGCAUCGUCACUUCAUCUUUUGCCAGCCUUCGCCUAUUCCGUAGUUCCUGUUUCGAGUUGCAAAUAUGAGCAACAGAACCGAUAUCGAAUACCCAGGCACUACUACGAGAGCCGGUUAAGUACACAUCAAUAACAUGUAUAUCAAAUAUACCUGAUUUUUCUUUGGCCGCCUUCUUAUCAGCCAGAUACUUGGGGCAGUUGCGCUUCCAGUGACCCAUACCCUUGCAAUAGUAGCACUCUGUUUCAGGCUUAGGUCCAGCUUCGGGUUUCUUCGUCGGAUUGGCAACAUGCUUGCCGCUCUUCUUUGAAUUGCCCUUCUUGCCUUUGCCGUUUCUCUUGAAACUAGUGGUCUUAUUUACCAUCAACACUUGAUGCUCUUUACGGAGUUCAGACUCUGCGACUUUCAGCAUCGCAAACAACUCGCUGGGUGACAACACAAAGCCCUUAUAGCUUGGCGGCAGUGAUUGAAGAAUUAUGUCAGUGAUAGCCUCUUGCGGGAGUUCAAUCCCAGCUCAGCUAGACGGUUUGAGUACCCAGACAUUUUGAGCACAUGUUCACUGACAGACGAAUUCUCCUCCAUCUUGCAAGCAUAGAAUUUAUCGGAGGUCUCAUACCUCUCGAUCCGGGAGUUCUUCUGAAAGAUAAACUUCAACUCCUGGAACAUCUCAUAUGCUCCAUGACGAAGCGACGUUGAAGUCCCGGUUCUAAGCCAUACAAGACUGUACAUUGAACUACUGAGUAGUCCUCCUUACGCGUUAACCAAGCGUUCUUAGCAUCCUUGUCAGCCGUAGCGGGUGGUUCAUCUCCUAGCGCAGCAUUAAGGAGAUAAUCCUUCUUCCCAGCUUGUAGGAUCAACUUAAGAUUACGAGCCCAGUCUACAAAGUUGCUUCCAUCAUCUUUCAACUUAGCUUUCUCUAGGAACGUAUUAAAAUUCAGGGUGACUGUCGCGUGAGCCAUGAUCUACAACACAAAUAUAUUCAAAGUGGACUUAGACUAUGUUCAAGAUAAUUAGAGUUUAACUUAAUCAAAUUACUUUCUAAACUCCCACUCAAAAAGUACAUCUCUCUAGUCAUUUGAGUGGUUCAUGACCCACUUACACUAGCUCAAGUCCGAUUAUCACGUGAGUUGAGUAUAGUUUCAGUGGUAAGCAUCCCUAUGCUAAUCAUAUAAGCUAUAUGAUUCAUGAUCGACCUUUCGGUCUCAUGCGUUCAGAGGCCAUGUCUGCACAUGCUAGGCUCGUCAAGCUUAACCCGAGUGUUCCGCGUGUGCAACUGUUUUGCACCCGUUGUAUGUGAACGUUGAGUCUAUCACACCCGAUCAUCACGUGGUGUCUCGAAACGACGAACUGUAGCAACGGUGCAUAGUCGGGGAGAACACAAUUUCGUCUUGAAAUUUUAGUGAGAGAUCACCUCAUAAUGCUACCGUCGUUCUAAGCAAAAUAAGGUGCAUAAAAGGAUUAACAUCACAUGCAAUUCAUAAGUGACAUGAUAUGGCCAUCAUCACGUGCUCCUUGAUCUCCAUCACCAAAGCACCGGCACGAUCUUCUUGUCACCGGCGCCACACCAUGAUCUCCAUCAACGUGUUGCCAUCGGGGUUGUCGUGCUACUCAUGCUAUUACUACUAAAGCUACAUCCUAGCAAAAUAGUAAACGCAUCUGCAAGCACAAACGUUAGUUUAAAGACAACCCUAUGGCUCCUGCCGGUUACCGUACCAUCGACGUGCAAGUCGAUAUUAUCUAUUACAACAUGAUCAUCUCAUACAUCCAAUUGUUGGGGAACGUCGCAUGGGAAACAAAAAAUUUCCUACGCGCACGAAGACCUAUCAUGGUGAUGUCCAUCUACGAGAGGGGAUGAGUGAUCUACGUACCCUUGUAGAUCGUACAGCAGAAGCGUUAGAGAACGCGGUUGAUGUAGUGGAACGUCCUCACGUCCCUCGAUCCGCCCCGCGAACAAUCCCGCGAUCAGUCCCACGAUCUAGUACCGAACGGACGGCACCUCCGCGUUCAGCACACGUACAGCUCGACGAUGAUCUCGGCCUUCUUGAUCCAGCAAGAGAGACGGAGAGGUAGAAGAGUUCUCCGGCAGCGUGACGGCGCUCCGGAGGUUGGUGAUGAUCUCGUCUCAGCAGGGCUCCGCCCGAGCUCCGCAGAAACGCGAUCUAGAGGAAAAACUAUGGAGGUAUGUGGUCGGGCUGCCGUGGCAAAAGUUGUCUCAAAUCAGCCCUAAUACCUUAGUAUAUAUAGGAGGGAGGGGGAGGGAAGAGGCAGCCUCAAACCCUCAAGGUUUGGCCGAAAUUGGAGGUGGAGGAGUCCUACUCCAAUCCUACUUGGAGUAGGAUUCCACCUUCCCACUUGGAAACUCUUUCCACCUUGUGUUUUUUCCUUCUCAAACCUUAUGGGCCUUAGUGGGAACUUAUUCCAGCCCACUAGGGGCUGGUUUAUCUCUUCCCAUAGCCCAUGAGACCCCUUGGGGCGUGACACCCCUCCCGAUGGUCCCCGGCACCCCUCCCGGCACUCCCGGUACAGUACCGAUGAGCCCGAAACUUUUCCGGUAAUGCACGAAAACCUUCCGGUAACCAAAUGGGGUCAUCCUAUAUAUCAAUCUUCGUUUCCGGACCAUUCCGGAAACCCUCGUGACGUCCGUGAUCUCAUCCGGGACUCCGAACAACAUUCGGUAACCAACCAUAUAACUCAAAUACGCAUAAAACAACGUCGAACCUUAAGUGUGCAGACCCUGCGGGUUCGAGAACUAUGUAGACAUGACCCGAGAGACUCCUCGGUCAAUAUCCAAUAGCGGGACCUGGAUGCCCAUAUUGGAUCCUACAUAUUCUACGAAGAUCUUAUCGUUUGAACCUCAGUGCCAAGGAUUCGUAUAAUCCCGUAUGUCAUUCCCUUUGUCCUUCGGUAUGUUACUUGCCCGAGAUUCGAUCGUCAGUAUCCGCAUACCUAUUUCAAUCUCGUUUACCGGCAAGUCUCUUUACUCGUUCCGUAAUACAAGAUCCCGCAACUUACACUAAGUUACAUUGCUUGCAAGGCUUGUGUGUGAUGUUGUAUUACCGAGUGGGCCCCGAGAUACCUCUCCGUCACACGGAGUGACAAAUCCCAGUCUUGAUCCAUACUAACUCAACUAACACCUUCGGAGAUACCUGUAGAGCAUCUUUAUAGUCACCCAGUUACGUUGCGACGUUUGAUACACACAAAGCAUUCCUCCGGUGUCAGUGAGUUAUAUGAUCUCAUGGUCAUAGGAAUAAAUACUUGACACGCAGAAAACAGUAGCAACAAAAUGACACGAUCAACAUGCUACGUCUAUUAGUUUGGGUCUAGUCCAUCACGUGAUUCUCCCAAUGACGUGAUCCAGUUAUCAAGCAACAACACCUUGUUCAUAAUCAGAAGACACUGACUAUCAUCGAUCAACUGGCUAGCCAACUAGAGGCAUGCUAGGGAUGGUGUUUUGUCUAUGUAUCCACACAUGUAAAUGAGUCUUCAUUCAAUACAAUUAUAGCAUGGAUAAUAAACUAUUAUCUUGAUACAGGAAUUAUAAUAAUAACUAUACAUUUAUUAUUGCCUCUAGGGCAUAAUUCCAACAGUCUCCCACUUGCACUAGAGUCAAUAAUCUAGCCCUCACAUCACCAUGCGAAUUACAUUGUAAUAAAUCUAACACCCAUACAGUUCUGGUGUCGAUCAUGUUUUGGCCGUGGAAGAGGUUUAGUCAGCGGGUCUGCUACAUUCAGAUCCGUGUGCACCUUGCAUAUAUUUACGUCCUCCUCCUCGACGUAGUCGCGGAUGAGGUUGAAGCGUCGUUUGAUGUGUCUGGUCUUCUUGUGAAACCUUCGUUCCUUUGCUAAGGCAAUGGCACCAGUGUUGUCACAGAACAAGGUUAUUGGAUCCAGUGCACUUGGCACCACUCCAAGAUCCGUCAUGAACUGCUUCAUCCAGACACCUUCCUUAGCCGCCUCCGAGGCAGCCAUGUACUCUGCUUCACAUGUAGAAUCUGCUACGACGCUUUGCUUGGAACUGCACCAGCUUACUGCACCCCCAUUAAGAAUAAAUACGUAUCCGGUUUGUGACUUAGAGUCGUCCGGAUCUGUGUCAAAGCUUGCAUCGACGUAACCUUUUACGGCGAGCUCUUCGUCACCUCCAUACACGAGAAACAUCUCCUUAGUCCUUUUCAGGUACUUCAGGAUAUUCUUGACCGCCGUCCAGUGAUCCACUCCUGGAUUACUCUGGAACCUGCCUGCCAUACUUAUGGCCAGGCUAACAUCCGGUCUAGUGCACAGCAUCGCAUACAUGAUAGAACCUAUGGCUGAAGCAUAGGGGACGGAGCGCAUAUGCUCUCUAUCUUCAUCAGUUGCUGGGCACUGAGUCUUACUCAAUCUCGUACCUUGUAACACCGGCAAGAACCCUUUCUUGGACUGUUCCAUUUUGAACCUCUUCAAAACUUUCUCAAGGUAUGUGCUUUGUGAAAGUCCUAUCAGGCGUUUUGAUCUAUCCCUAUAGAUCUUAAUGCCUAGAAUGUAAGCAGCUUCUCCUAGGUCCUUCAUAGAGAAACUUUUAUUCAAGUAACCUUUUAUGCUCUCCAAAAGCUCUACGUUGUUUCCAAUCAGUAAUAUGUCAUCCACAUAUAAUAUUAGAAACGCCACAGAGCUCCCACUCACUUUCUUGUAAAUACAAGAUUCUCCAACCACUUGUAUAAACCCAAAUGCUUUGAUCACCUCAUCAAAGCGUUUGUUCCAACUCCGAGAUGCUUGCACCAGUCCAUAAAUGGAUCGCUGGAGUUUGCACACUUUGUCAGCAUUUUUAGGAUCGACAAAACCUUCGGGUUGCAUCAUAUACAACUCUUCCUUAAGGAAACCGUUAAGGAACGCCGUUUUGACAUCCAUCUGCCAGAUUUCAUAAUCGAAAAAUGCAGCUAUUGCUAACAUGAUUCUGACGGACUUAAGCAUCGCUACAGGAGAGAAAGUCUCAUCGUAGUCAAUUCCUGGAACUUGUGAAAAACCCUUUGCCACAAGUCGAGCUUUAUAAACGGUCACAUUACCGUCAGCGUCCGUCUUCUUCUUAAAGAUCCAUUUGUUCUGAAUAGCCUUGCGGCCCUCAGGCAGUAUCUCCAAAGUCCAUACUUUGUUCUCAUACAUGGAUCCUAUCUCGGAUUUCAUGGCUUCUAGCCAUUUGUUGGAAUCUGGGCCCACCAUCGCUUCUUCAUAAUUUGCAGGUUCAUUGUUGUCUAACAACAUGAUUGAUAAGACGGGAUUACCGUACCACUCUGGAGCAGCGCGUGAUCUCGUCGACCUGCGUGGUUCAACAGAAACUUGAACUGGAGUUUCAUGAUCAUCAUCAUUAACUUCCUCCUCAACCGGCGUCGCAACGACAGAGGUUUCCCCUUGCCCUGCGCCACCAUCCAGAGGGAUGAGAGGUUCGACAACCUCGUCAAGUUCUAUCUUCCUCCCACUCAAUUCUCUCGAGAGAAACUCCUUCUCGAGAAAAGUUCCGUUCUUAGCAACAAACACUUUGCCCUCGGAUUUGAGAUAGAAGGUGUACCCAACUGUCUCUUUUGGGUAACCUAUGAAGACGCACUUUUCCGCUUUGGGUUCCAGCUUUUCAGGCUGAAGCUUUUUGACAUAAGCAUCACAUCCCCAAACUUUAAGAAACGACAACUUUGGCCUUUUGCCAUACCACAGUUCGUAUGGUGUCGUCUCAACGGAUUUCGAUGGUGCCCUAUUUAAAGUGAAUGCAGCUGUUUCUAAUGCAUAACCCCAAAAUGAUAACGGCAAAUCAGUAAGAGACAUCAUAGAUCGCACCAUUUCUAAUAAAGUACGAUUACGACGUUCGGACACACCAUUACGCUGUGGUGUUCCGGGCGGUGUUAACUGCGAAACAAUUCCACAUUGUCUUAAGUGAGUACCAAACUCGAAACUCAGAUAUUCACCCCCACGAUCAGACCGUAGGAACUUGAUCUUCUUGUUACGAUGAUUUUCCACUUCACUCUGAAAUUGCUUGAACUUUUCAAAUGUUUCAGACUUGUGCUUCAUCAAGUAGACAUAACCAUAUCUACUUAGAUCGUCAGUGAAGGUGAGAAAAUAACGAUAUCCGCCGCGUGCCUCCACGCUCAUUGGACCACACACAUCGGUAUGUAUGAUUUCCAACAAGUCACUUGCACGCUCCAUUGUUCCGGAGAACGGAGUCUUAGUCAUCUUGCCCAUGAGGCAUGGUUCGCACGUGUCAAGUGAAUCAAAGUCAAGUGACUCCAAAAGUCCAUCAGCAUGGAGUUUCUUCAUGCGCUUUACACCAAUAUGACCCAAGCGGCAGUGCCACAAAAAUAUGGCGCUAUCAUUGUUUACUCUAACUCUUUUGGUCUCAAUGUUAUGUAUAUGCGUAUCUCUAUCAAGAUUCAAUAUGAACAAUCCUCUCACAUUCGGUGCAUGACCAUAAAAGAUGUUACUCAUAGUAAUAGAACAACCAUUAUUCUCAGACUUAAAAGAGUAACCGUCUCGCAAUAAACAAGAUCCAGAUAUAAUGUUCAUGCUCAACGCAGGCACUAAAUAACAAUGAUUUAAGUUCAUCACUAAUCCCGAUGGUAGUUGAAGUGACACUGUGCCGACGGCGAUUGCAUCAACCUUGGAACCGUUUCCUACGCGCAUCGUCACUUCGUCUUUCGCCAGCCUUCGUCUAUUCCGCAGUUCCUGCUUCGAGUUGCAAAUGUGAGCAACAGAACCGGUAUCGAAUACCCAGGCACUACUACGAGAGCUGGUUAAGUACACAUCAAUAACAUGUAUAUCAAAUAUACCUGAUUUUUCUUUGCCCGCCUUCUUAUCUGCCAGAUACUUGGGGCAAUUGCGCUUCCAGUGACCCAUACCCUUGCAAUAGAAGCACUCUGUUUCAGGCUUAGGUCCAGCCUUGGGUUUCUUCGGCGGAUUGGCAACAGGCUUGCCGCUCUUCUUCGAAUUGCCCUUCUUGCCUCUGCCGUUUCUCUUGAAACUAGUGGUCUUGCUCACCAUCAACACUUGAUGUUCUUUACGGAGUUCAGACUCUGCGACUUUCAGCAUCGCAAACAACUCGCCGGGAGACUUGUUCAUCCCUUGCAUGUUGUAGUUCAACACAAAGCCUUUAUAGCUUGGCGGCAGUGAUUGAAGGAUUCUGUCAGUGAUAGCUUCUUGCGGGAGUUCAAUCCCCAGUUCAGCUAGACGGUUUGAGUACCCAGACAUUUUGAGCACAUGUUCACUGACAGACGAGUUUUCCUCCAUCUUGCAAGCAUAGAAUUUAUCGGAGGUCUCAUACCUCUCGAUCCGGGCGUUCUUCUGAAAGAUGAACUUCAACUCCUGGAACAUCUCAAAUGCUCCAUGACGCUCAAAGCGACGUUGAAGUCCCGGUUCUAAGCCAUACAAGACUGCACAUUGAACUAUUGAGUAGUCCUCCUUACGCGCUAACCAAGCGUUCUUAACAUCCUGAUCAGCCGUAGCGGGUGGUUCAUCUCCUAGCGCAGCAUUAAGGACAUAAUCCUUCUUUCCAGCUUGUAAGAUUAGCUUAAGAUUACGAGCCCAGUCUACAAAGUUGCUUCCAUCAUCUUUCAACUUAGCUUUCUCUAGGAACGUAUUAAAAUUGAGGAUGACACUUGCGUGAGCCAUGAUCUACAACACAAAUAUAUUCAAAGUGGACUUAGACUAUGUUCAAGAUAAUUAGAGUUCAACUUAAUCAAAUUAGAUGCUAAACUCCCACUCAAAAAGUACAUCUCUCUAGUCAUUUGAGUGGUUCAUGAUCCACCUACACUAUCCCAAGUCCGAUCAUCACGUGAGUCGGGAGUAGUUUCAGUGGUAAGCAUCCCUAUGCUAAUCAUAUCAUCUAUAUGAUUCAUGAUCGACCUUUCGAUCUCAUGUGUUCCGAGGCCAUGUCUGCACAUGCUAGGCUCGUCAAGCUUAACCCGAGUGUUCCGCGUGCGCAACUGUUUUGCACCCGUUGUAUGUGAACGUUGAGUCUAUCACACCCGAUCAUCACGUGGUGUCUCGAAACGACGAACUGUAGCAACGGUGCACAGUCGGGGAGAACACAAUUUCGUCUUGAAAUUUUAGUGAGAGAUCACCUCAUAAUGCUACCGUCGUUCUAAGCAAAAUAAGGUGCAUAAAAGGAUUAACAUCACAUGCAAUUCAUAAGUGACAUGAUACGGCCAUCAUCACGUGCUUCUUGAUCUCCAUCACCAAAGCACCGGCACGAUCUUCUUGUCACCGGCGCCACACCAUGAUCAUCCAUCAACGUGUUGCCAUCGGGGUUGUCGUGCUACUUAUGCUAUUACUACUAAAGCUACAUCCUAGCAAAAUAGUAAACGCAUCUGCAAGCACAAACGUUAGUAUAAAGACAACCCUAUGGCUCCUGCCGGUUGCCGUACCAUCGACAUGCAAGUCGAUAUUUCUAUUACAACAUGAUCAUCUCAUACAUCCAAUAUAUCACAUCACAUUGUUGGCCAUAUGACAUCACAAUCAUACCCUGCAAAAACAAGUUAGACGUCCUCUAAUUUUGUUGUUGCAUGUUUUACGUGGUGACCAAGGGUAUCUAGUAGGAUCGCAUCUUACUUACGCAAACACCACAACGGAGAUAUAUGAGUUGCUAUUUAACCUCAUCCAAGGACCUCCUCGGUCAAAUCCGAUUCAACUAAAGUUGGAGAAACCGUCACUUGCCAGUCAUCUUUGAGCAAAGGGGGUUACUCGUAACGAUGAAACCAGUCUCUCGUAAGCGUACGAGUAAUGUCGGUCCAAGCCGCUUCAAUCCAACAAUACCGCGGAAUCAAGAAAAGACUAAGGAGGGCAGCAAAACGCACAUCACCGCCCACAAAAACUUUUGUGUUCUACUCGAGAAGACAUCUACGCAUGAACCUAGCUCAUGAUGCNNNNNNNNNNNNNNNNNNNNNNNNNNNNNNNNNNNNNNNNNNNNNNNNNNNNNNNNNNNNNNNNNNNNNNNNNNNNNNNNNNNNNNNNNNNNNNNNNNNNACCGCGCGGCCGAGGCGACGACGACGCUGCGCAUGCGGCGCGGGGCGGCUUGGAGCGCGAGGCUGGAGGCGGCUGAGACGGCCAUGGCCGGCGGUGAGGUGUGCCGGGCUCGCGCGCGUCUGCUCGAUCGGCUCGGCCUCAGGCGCGCGUGCGGUGAGGAGUGGCGGUGUGUGUGGCGCGGAGGAGGCUGCUCCUCCUCUCGUAGUGGGGCUGGGAGGAUGUGGUGGACACCGGUGGGUUUGGUUGGUUGCCUCUCGUCGCGCCAACGAGGAGCGGACAUGUCACGCUCACACCAGACAAGUGGCUCCCGAUGUGGCCGCGGCUGGGCUUCUCAAGCAGUCAAGCUCGUGACGGCGACUUCCGGCACGACUCACGAAGACGUGGCGGUGAGCCGGACCGUCAAGCAGCUGCUCCGGUAGCGCCGCACAUGGAGCCCUGCGGUGCUCGGGUCCAUGAACGGCAACCGGCAGCCGUUGCUUUAUUUGCUACUUGCUCCAGUGAUUGAGCACAUAAGCAGAUUAAUCUUCCAUCAGCACUUGCACUUCUAGCAGUGAUUUUACUCCUGUUUUAGACUAUAACCAAUACUUAUAUUUCAGUAUUGUUUUCUGUUGAGUACCAAUGUAUUCGAGAUCUUAAGUUGAUGUAAUAUGUUUCCACGUUUAUCACGUGUCGAGAUUAAUUACGUCCAUUUGCAAUUGAGAUUUUUAAUCUCUUGCAAAGAUAAAUUCAGUACAUCUACAGUACUGAUUUGCGAUUGAAAAUUUUAUUCUUCCGCAAAACAAUCUCAUUGUGGUUGAGAUUAAUCUCUCUCGCGAAACAUAUUAAUUCACCAUGGUUAAUUAUCUUGCAAUUUGAUACAAGAUCAUCUCAUUUAAUAUGAAGUCUAUACAAUUCAAGUUUUUCACUUGAUCAUCAAGUUUGCAACAUCAUUACUAUUCAUUACAAUAGUAGUGUAUAUCUGUAGAGUACAUUGUAUUCCAGAAUAAAUUGUGAUGUAAUAAAUUUCCAUGUUAUUCUAUAUGUCGAGAUUAUUUACAUCUGUUAUUUGCAAUUGAGAUAUUCAAUUUCUUGCAAAUAAAAAUCAAUUCAUUUUAAUUGAGCCAUUGGCUUGAUACGAGCAAGAAUUGAUAUCCAAAUUCUUAGUGUUGUUUUUCAAAUUGAUAUUUUGAGAAUCACAAGGUAGUGUGUAGAUCUACCGCUUUGCAGAUCAUCACCACUACUAUUAAAGCCUGCAUUUUGUCACUUUGACAAUAUGAUUGCUUUACAAAAUGUCCUCCCCACAUAUUUCACUAAGUCAUGACAUAAGGCAUUACGAGUGAGUAUAUACUGAUUUCAUCGGAUUAUACUCCCUAGUGCUGCGAGAUCCACUCCAUUUUGAAGAUUAUCUUCAAAGUGUCAUACUUAGCAAUUUGAGAUUCACGUUAAUGGUCUCAAGAUAACUUCUUGAAAUACUCAUUAAUUUUGCUAAGCUCACUACAACAUUAACCAUGGUAGUCUUUAAUUUACUAACCGUAAAUUAAUUAUCUCUCGUAACUGAUGGCUAGAGAAUUUGAGGCAUUCGCGCCUCAAUAGCCACCACUGCCUUUCCAUGGGCCAAGGAAAUUAUGAUCACUCUUGAGUCUCGUGGGAUAAUGUGUGAAAUCCAAAACUGUAAGAUUUAUCUAUGGUCAGGAUCACACCGCUAACAGAAAAAUGUUGUCUUAUACAUAAUAAGGCGUUAUAUUGGUUCAGGUCUUAGCAUCUGGUUAUUCCGUAUCAACAAUUCCUGGGCACAAUGAACCUCAAGGGCAAAGGCUUGAAGCUCACUUCAACCUUCAACCUGACAUCACUAAUGAUGACGGAUCCUAUGUGCAUGGAGAAUGUGUGGUUCAUUAUGCCUCAACCGACAUGUUUGGAGAUUAUGAGUAGUCUCUCAAUCUCAAUGUACAAAUACAUUUGUAUGUAUUCUAUAUAUCCGACAGUGAAUUUUUGAGAAUCAUCAUGCCUAUAUAUAGAUUUCUACGAGGGUCAAUCUGAUGAAAGAUGAAUUGUGCAUUAUGGACAUAUGCGCCACGGACUCUAUACUCAGGAAAGUCCAAUGUUUUCACUCUCGUUGAGAGAAAGGAGAUAUUUUAAAAUCGCUAGACGUGAUGAGGUAUUUGUUGGCUCAACUUGAGUCAUAUUUACUAUCCCUGUGGGUACUCGAGUAACGUCGGGAUGCUUUAUUGCUUCCCAGAUUUAACUCGUACCCUACUAAACUAUAGAGGUAUCCGUCAAAAUAGUUCCCAUAGCGAAACUUAUGAUGACAGCAACGAAUAUGGCAGGCAAAUUUUUUAUGUAUCAUCUGAAUUGUACUACACAUACGACACAACCCGUAGCACAUGUUGCGUAUGAGAUAGUUUUCCAGAGUAUCUUGUACAUGACAAACUUGGCAUUCUCGCCUUGGUCAUCGAGAUAUUGGGUUGAAAGCGAAAGUAUCACCAAUUCCAAUAGUUUAUGAUUAUUAUGAUGCUAAAUUCUAACAGUAUUUGGAUUUUGUGUGCACUACAUGUGACACAAGGAAGCUAAUUUUAAGGCUCGCGCACCUUAAAGUCUAUGCUGAACCACUCAGACUCCUUGAAUGCAUCAAGUCGAGGUAAGUGGCUCUUCCCAUCCAUUGACUAGACCAUUUAGGUAUUCCAUGGUUCUAAAAGCCAUAUCUAUAUGAUUGUCUCAAGUGUGAUUUAUUCACAUGAAACCAUUGGUGAUGGGAAACGUCGCAUGGGAAACAAAAAAAAAUUCCUACGCGCACGAAGACCUAUCAUGGUGAUGUUCGACUACGAGAGGGGAUUUCCGAUCUACGUACCCUUGUAGAUCGCACAGCAGAAGCGUUAGUGAACGCGGUUGAUGUAGUGGAACGUCCUCACGUCCCUCGAUCCGCCCCGCAAACCGUCCCACGAACCGUCCCGCGAUCCGUCCCACGAUCUAGUGCCGAACGGAUGGCACCUCCGCGUUCAGCACACGUACAGCUCGACGAUGAUCUCGGCCUUCUUGAUCCAGCAAGAGAGACGGAGAGGUAGAUGAGUUCUCCGACAGCGUGACGGCGCUCCGGAGGUUGGUGGUGAUCUGAUCUCGGCAGGGCUCCGCCCGAGCUCCGCAGAAACGCGAUCUAGAGGUAAAACCGUGGAAGUAUGUGGUCGGGCUGCCUUUGAAAAGUUGUCUCAAAUCAGCCCUAAUUGCUCCAUAUAUAUAGGAGGAGGGAGGGGAGGCUUGCCUUGAGGCUCAAGGAGCCCCAAGGGCUGCGCACCAAGGGGAGGAGGAGUCCUCCUCCAAUCCUAGUCCAACUAGGAUUGGAAAGUGGAGUCCUUCUCUCCUUUCCCACCUCCUUUUUUUCUUUCUCUUUGAUUUUCUAUCCUUCGCGCAUAGGGUCCUCUUGGGCUGCCCCACCAGCCCACCAAGGGCUGGUGCGCCACUCCCAAGGCCUAUGGGCUUCCCCGGGGUGGGUUGCCCCCCCGGUGAACACCCGGAACCCAUUCGUCAUUCCCGGUAACUCCGAAAACCUUCCGGUAAUCAAAUGAGGUCAUCCUAUAUAUCAAUCUUCGUUUCCGGACCAUUCUGGAAACCCUCGUGACGUCCGUGAUCUCAUCCGGGACUCCGAACAACAUUCGGUAACCAACCAUAUAACUCAAAUACGCAUAAAACAACGUCGAACCUUAAGUGUGCAGAACCUGCGGGUUCGAGAACUAUGUAUACAUGACCCGAGUGACUCCUCGGUCAAUAUCCAAUAGCGGGACCUGGAUGCCCAUAUUGGAUCCCACAUAUUCUAUGAAGAUCUUAUCGUUUGAACCUCAGUGCCAAGGAUUCAUAUAAUCCCGUAUGUCAUUCCCUUUGUCCUUCGGCAUGUUACUUGCCCGAGAUUCGAUCGUCGGUAUCCGCAUACCUAUUUCAAUCUCGUUUACCGGCAAGUCUCUUUACUCGUUCCGUAAUACAAGAUCCCGCAACUUACACUAAGUCACAUUGCUUGCAAGGCUUGUGUGUGAUGGUGUAUUACCGAGUGGGCCCCGAGAUACCUCUCCGUCACACGGAGUGACAAAUCCCAGUCUCGAUCCAUACUAACUCAACGAACACCUUCGGAGAUACCUGUAGAGCAUCUUUAUAGUCACCCCGUUACGUUGCGACGUUUGAUACACACAAAGCAUUCCUCCGGUGUCAGUGAGUUAUAUGAUCUCAUGGUCAUAGGAACAAAUACUUGACACGCAGAAAACAGUAGCAACAAAAUGACACGAUCAACAUGCUACGUCUAUUAGUUUGGGUCUAGUCCAUCACGUGAUUCUUCUAAUGACGUGAUCCAGUUAUCAAGCAACAACACCUUGUAUAUAAUCAGAAGACCCUGACUAUCUUUGAUGAACUGGCUAGCCAACUAGGGGCUUGCUAGGGAUAGUGUUUUGUCUAUGUAUCCACACAUGUAUAUAAGUCUUCAUUCAAUACAAUUAUAGCAUGGAUAAUAAACGAUUAUCUUGAUACAGGAAUUAUAAUAAUAACUAUAUUUAUUAUUGCCUCUAGGGCAUAAUUCCAACAGUCUCCCACUUGCACUAGAGUCAAUAAUCUAGCCCUCACAUCAUCAUGCGAAUUACAUUGUAAUAAAUCUAACACACAUACAGUUCUGGUGUUGAUCAUGCUUUGCCCGUGGAAGAGGUUUAGUCAGCGGGUCUGCUACAUUCAGAUCCGUGUGCACUUUGCAUAUAUUUACGUCCUCCCCUUCGACGUAGUCGCGGAUGAGGUUGAAGCGUCGUUUGAUGUGUCUGGUCUUCUUGUGAAACCGUGGUUCCUUUUCUAAGGCAAUGGCACCCGUGUUGUCACAGAACAAGGUUAUUGGAUUCAGUGCGCUUGGCACCACUCCAAGAUCCGUCAUGAACUGCUUCAUCCAGACACCCUCCUUAGCCGCCUCCGACGCAGCCAUGUACUCCGCUUCACAUGUAGAAUCAGCUACGACGCUUUGCUUGGAACUGCACCAGCUUACAGCACCCCCAUUAAGAAUAAAUACGUAUCCGGUCUGCGACUUAGAGUCGUCCGGAUCUGUGUCAAAGCUUGCAUCGACGUAACCCUUUACGGCGAGCUCUUCGUCACCUCCACACACGAGAAACAUCUCCUUAGUCCUUUUCAGGUACUUCAGGAUAUUCUUAACCGCCGUCCAGUGAUUCACUCCUGGAUUACUCUGGAACUUGCCUGCCAUACUUAUGGCCAGGCUAACGUCCGGUCUAGUGCACAACAUUGCAUACGUGAUAGAUCCUAUGGCUGAAGCAUAGGGGACGGUGCUCAUAUGCUCUCUAUCUUUAUCAGUUGCUGGGCACUGAGUCUUACUCAAUCUCGUACCUUGUAAAACUGGAAAGAACCCUUUCUUGGACUGUUCCAUUUUGAACCUUUUCAAAACUUUAUCAAGGUAUGUGCUUUGUGAAAGUCCUAUCAGGCGUUUCGAUCUAUCCCUGUAGAUCUUAAUGCCUAGAAUGUAAGCAGCUUCUCCUAGGUCCUUCAUAGAGAAACUUUUAUUCAAGUAAUCCUUUACGCUCUCCAAAAACUCUACAUUGUUUCCAAUCAGCAAUAUGUCAUCUACAUAUAAUAUCAGAAACGCCACAGAGCUCCCACUCACUUUCUUGUAAAUACAAGAUUCUCCAACCACUUGUAUAAACCCAAAUGCUUUGAUCACCUCAUCAAAGCGUUUGUUCCAACUCCAAGAUGCUUGCACCAGUCCAUAAAUGGAUCGCUGGAGCUUGCACACCUUGUUAGCAUUCUUAGGAUCGACAAAACCUUUGGGUUGCAUCAUAUACAACUCUUCCUUAAGGAAACCGUUAAGGAACGCCGUUUUGACAUCCAUCUGCCAGAUUUCAUAAUCGAAAAAUGCAGCUAUUGCUAACAUGAUUCUGACGGACUUAAGCAUCGCUACGGGUGAGAAUGUCUCAUCGUUGUCAACUCCUUGAACUUGUGAAAAACCUUUUGCCACAAGUCGAGCUUUAUAAACGGUCACAUUGCCGUCAGCGUCCGUCUUCUUCUUAAAGAUCCAUUUGUUCUGAAUAGCCUUGCGGCCCUCAGGUAGUACUUCCAAAGCCCACACUUUGUUUUCAUACAUGGAUCCUAUCUCGGACUUCAUGGCCUCCAGCCAUUUGUUGGAAUCUGGGCCCACCAUUUCUUCUUCAUAAUUUGCAGGUUCAUUGUUGUCUAACAACAUGAUUGACAAAACGGGAUUACGGUACCACUCUGGAGCAGCACGUGGUCUCGUCGACCUGCGUGGUUCGAUAGGAACUUGAACCGGAGUUUCAUGAUCAUCAUCAUUAACUUCCUCCUCAACCGGCGUCGCAACAACAGGGGUUUCCCCUUGCCCUGCGCCACCAUCCAGAGGGAUGAGAGGUUCGACAACCUCAUCAAGUUCUAUCUUCCUCCCACUCAAUUCUCUCGAGAGAAACUCCUUCUCGAGAAAAGCUCCGUUUUUAGCAACAAACACUUUGCCCUCGGAUUUGAGAUAGAAGGUGUACCCAACUGUCUCUUUUGGGUAACCUAUGAAGAUGCACCUUUCCGCUUUGGGUUCCAUCUUUUCAGGCUGAAGCUUUUUGACAUAAGCAUCACAUCCCCAAACUUUAAGAAACGACAACUUUGGCCUUUUGCCAUACCACAGUUCGUAUGGUGUCGUCUCAACGGAUUUUGAUGGUGCCCUAUUUAAAGUGAAUGCAGUUGUGUCUAAUGCAUAACCCCAAAAUGAUAACGGCAAACCGGUAAGAGACAUCAUAGAUCGCACCAUCUCUAAUAAAGUACGAUUACGACGUUCGGACACACCAUUAUGCUGUGGUGUUCCAGGCGGUGUCAACUGUGAAACAAUUCCACAUUGUCUUAAGUGAGCACCAAACUCGAAACUCAGAUAUUCACCCCCACGAUCAGACCGUAGGAACUUGAUCUUCUUGUUACGAUGAUUUUCAACUUCACUCUGAAAUUGCUUGAACUUUUCAAAUGUUUCAGACUUGUGCUUCAUUAAGUAGACAUAACCAUAUCUACUCAAAUCGUCAAUGAAGGUGAGAAAAUAACGAUAUCCGCUGCGUGCCUCCACGCUCAUCGGACCGCACACAUCGGUAUGUAUGAUUUCCAAUAAGUCACUGGCACGCUCCAUUGUUCCGGAGAACGGAGUUUUAGUCAUCUUGCCCAUGAGGCAUGGUUCGCACGUGUCAAGUGAUAAAAAGUCAAGUGACUCCAAAAGUCCAUCGGUAUGGAGUUUCUUCAUGCUUUUACACCAAUAUGACCUAAGCGGCAGUGCCACAAAAACAUGGCGCUAUCAUUGUUAACUCUAACUCUUUUGGUCUCAAUGUUAUGUAUAUGUGUAUCACUAUCAAGAUUCAAUAUGAACAAUCCUCUCACAUUGGGUGCAUGACCAUAAAAGAUGUUACUCAUAGAAAUAGAACAACCAUUAUUCUCUGACUUAAAAUAGUAACCGUCUCGCAAUAAACAAGAUCCAGAUAUAAUGUUCAUGCUCAACGCAGGCACUAAAUAACAAUUAUUCAAGUUCAUNNNNNNNNNNNNNNNNNNNNNNNNNNNNNNNNNNNNNNNNNNNNNNNNNNNNNNNNNNNNNNNNNNNNNNNNNNNNNNNNNNNNNNNNNNNNNNNNNNNNGGAGAUCGUAUGUUCAUCAACAGCUAGAAAUUGGGGGGGGGGGGAGUGCGCUUGCUUAUUUGAUGAUUGCGUGUUUGUAAAAAGGUUGUUCUGUCAUGCGGUAUUAAAUGCACUCUAUUUGGUUUACAGUCCCGUGCGUUGCAACGGUAAACCAAAAUAUUACGUCGUAGCCAAAUAAGUAUGGCUCAAUAUCCUGACAUAUGAGCGUUCUCUAUUUUUCUAUUUUACCAUGAUGGCCCAUCAUAUUACCACUUAUUUUUUUUUGCCAUCCUCGUUGAUGAUGGCCCCGCUGUCCAUGUUAUCAAAUUUUGUAACAUUUUAUAAAUGUCACACACAUUUUCUUUGAAUUCAUGGAUAUGUUUUGAAUACAUCAUCAUUUUCAAAAUCUUGAAUGUUUUAUAUUGGAUGAAUAUAUUUUUCAAAAUUGUGAAUUCUUUUACGAUAUCGAAACAGUUCUUUAAAAUCAUCAACAUUUUUUAGUCCGUGAUCAUUUUAUGUUUUCCUGAAAGUUUAUUUAAAUUACAAACAUUUUAUGAUUUCAUGAUUCGUUUUUCCAAAACUCAAAACCUUUUAAAUACAGAAUUUUGAAAAAUUCUGAAUUAAUUUAUAGAAGAAAAAUAAAUUGAAAUAAGAAACAUUUUAUAUUUUCCAGAAUAUAUUUGUCAAAAUUGUGAAUUAUUUUAUAAUAUGCAAACUGUUUUUUGAAAAUCAUAAACAAUUUUGAAUUCCGCAAACAAUUUAUGAUUUCCUGAUCCUUCUUAUGAAUUUCUAGACAUUUUAUGAUUUCCUGAACAUUUUUUCUAUGUUUUGAAUACAUGAUCAUUUUCAAAAUCAUGAACGUUCUAUAUUUUCUGAAUAUAUUUUUGAAAAUUGUGGAUUCUUUUAUAAUAUGCAAACAUUUGUUCAAAACUCAGAACUUUUAAAAUUGGAAUAUUGAAAAGUUCCGAAUUAAAUAAAAGAUUAUAUUUUUGAAAAUUGUGGAUUCUUUUAUAAUAUGCAAACAGUUUUUCAAAAUUCAAAACUGUUAAAAUUGGAAUUUUGAAAAGUUCCGAAUUAAUUAAAAGAAGGCGACAAACAAAUUGAAAUAAUAAAACAGAAAAUCCGAUGUUUUGAAUACAUCAUCAUUUUCAAAAUCUUGAAUGUUUUAUAUUGGAUGAAUAUAUUUUUCGAAAUUGUGAAUUCUUUUACGAUAUCGGAACAGUUCUUUAAAAUCAUGAAAAAAAUUAGUCUGUGAACAUUUUAUGUUUUCCUGAAAGUUUAUUUAAAAUUACCAAACAUUUUAUGAUUUCAUGAUUCAUUUUUCCAAAACUCAAAACCUUUUAAAUACAGAAUUUUGAAAAAUUCUGAAUUAAUUUAUAGAAGAAAAAUAUAUUGAAAUAAGAAACAUUUUAUAUUUUCCAGAAUAUAUUUGUCGAAAUUGUGACUUGUUUUAUAAUAUGCAAACUGUUUUUUGAAAAUCAUAAACAAUUUUGAAUUCCGCAAACAAUUUAUGAUUUCCUGAUCCUUCUUUUGAAUUUCUAGACAUUUUAUGAUUUCCUGAACAUUUUUUCUAUGUUUUGAAUACAUGAUCAUUUUCAAAUCAUGAAUGUUCUAUAUUUUCUGUAUAUAUUUUUGGAAAUUGUGGAUUCUUUUAUAAUAUGCAAACAUUUUUUUCAAAACUCAAAACUUUUAAAAUUGGAAUAUUGAAAAGUUCCGAAUUAAAUAAAAGAAUAUAUUUUUGAAAAUUGUGGAUUCUUUUAUAAUAUGCAAACAGUUUUUCAAAACUUGAAACUUUUAAAAUUGGAAUUUUGAAAAGUUUCAAGUUAAUUAAAAGAAGGCAACAAACAAAUUGAAAUAAUAAAACAGAAAAUCCGAUAAAAAAGGUGUUGUUCAGGAAUCAAACCUGGGAUUCGUGAAUGGUGUAGCUGCACUAAAGCCAAUAAGCCAAGCUAGCUGUUGUUGCUUUCAAAGGUCUCGCCUCGCCAUUUAAGUACUGAUACGGACGGCGACUUUGACAGAUUCCAAAAUCAAAUCGUUUCCUUCAUUUAUGGGUCGCAUAUUGGGUAAUUUAAUACAACAUCAGGGGUACAAAGCGCCUGCUAGAGAAACAAAAAUAAAAAUAGAAAUAAAAAUAAAGUAAAAAUAAAAGUUAAAAUGACCGGAAUAGGAUCGGGGCUUUGAACCCGACGUGAAUCGAACACGCAACCUUCUGAUCUGGAGUCAGACGCGCUACCAUUGCGCCACGGAUCCGGUGUGUUGUUGCUCGCUGACCAAUCUACAAGAGCGACAUUAAUGGUAGAUUAGGGACUUAAGCUACAGAGAAGUACGCUGUAGCUUCAUUAUCAUAUCAUAGAUUAUAGGCUGAAUUUUUUCCAAUUAACAGUUCCUUUGGAGCUUAAAUUAAGGAGCUGGUGCAGCAUGUGGUCGUGGCCUCAUGUGGUUCUCCAGGUUGAUGGAGAGUUUGAGACGUGCCCUGCCAACGACGGCCAGUCUCGCGCUUCCCUCGGCGCCAUCUUUAGUUUGUUCUCCUGCUCCUGCGUGAGGUGCCACGGUUGAGACAUUUCUGGCGCUCCAGAAGGAGAAUGGGCCUUCUCCAGUCCAGAGGUUUGCUGCUGGUUCAGCAAAAAUGGUAGAGAAUGUAUCCAGUCAGCUACUUCCUUUGUCAUGAUACAUUCACAUCCAGGUAAAUCUAAAAUAAAUAAUUUAGUACGAAGAAUAUUAGCCAAGGCGAGAGCACAAUAGUAAGCUUUGCAUGUUGACAUGAGCAAAAAAAACAUCUCUAGCAAACUCCGCAAACGGCCGGCCCGAAAAAAUGGUUUGAGAGAUCCCGCAAAAACAUUUUAUGGGACGACGAGCCCUCUGACGGAACAGUUUCCGUAAACCCGUCCCGUAGAUGUUAUGCAAGACGCGUUUGCGGGAUCUAUUCUGCGUCGGAGGACUCGUUGUUCCGCAAAUACAAUUAUAUGCAAAUAUUAUCAAGUUUAUCAUGACAGGUGCAUCAUUUUCAUAUAUAUACAUUACUAGCUAGUAGAUCAUCAUACUAGUUCAUCACAUCCAAAAUGAUGAGCUUCAUGUAUGCACGAUAAACUAGGCAAAAGAUGCACAAAUCACAUAGAUCAAUCAAGCUCCAUCACCAACAUUGACCGGAGAGCUCGCGCCAUCACCUUCACGAACUUCAACCGGAGAGCUCGCACCACCACCUUUAUGGACUUGGACCGGAGAUUGAGUGUGGCCAUCAUCACCACCAUUGACAUGGCUUGCCGAAGCACCACCACCAUUGUCGAAGACACCACCACCACCAUUGUCGAAGCCACCACCACUACCACCACCAUUGCCGAAGCCACCCUACCACCACCACCNNNNNNNNNNNNNNNNNNNNNNNNNNNNNNNNNNNNNNNNNNNNNNNNNNNNNNNNNNNNNNNNNNNNNNNNNNNNNNNNNNNNNNNNNNNNNNNNNNNNAACUUACCCGAACUCCCGUUUCGUAGNGACCCUCGGGACCCCAGGAACUACAGUGAGAAUAGCAUAGAAAACUGGCCAGAAUGGACCAAUACUGCGAGUUUUGACGAGGUCCCCGGAGUUCGCAGACUGUUUGGAUCUCCCCGGGAACAAAAUUUAGUGAGUAAUAGCAUAGAAAACUAGCCAGAAUGGACCAAAUGUGCGAGUUUUGGCGAGGUCCACGUAACCGAUCCCUGGAGUUCGCGAAACGUUCGGAUCGCCCCGGGAACCAAAAUCAGUGAGUAAUAGCAUAAGAAACUUUCCAGAAUGGACCAAAUCUGCGAGUUUUCAUGAGGUCCCCGUAACCACACAUUGAAGUUCCCCGAACAUCUUUAUUGCCGUGAGUCCAAGAUCAAUGAGAAAUAGCAUAAAAAACUCGACAGAAUGGACAAAAUCUGCGAGUUGUAACGAGGUCCCUAUAAUGGGUCCCCGGAGUUCGUGGAACGUUUGUAGCGCCCGGGGACCCAGAACUAGUGAGUAAUGGCAUAGAAAACUGGCGAGAAUGGACCAAAUCUGUGAGAUUUGACGAGGUCCCCAUAACCGGUCCUCGAAUUUCCCCGAACAUUUGUAGCACCACGGGACCCUGAAUUAGUGAGUAAUCGCAUAGAAAAUUAGGCUAGAAUGGACCAAAUCUGCGAGUUUUGAUAAUGUCCCCAUAACUGGACCCCAAAUUCACCGAACGUUUGGAUCUCUCCACGACCCAAAUUAGUGAGUAAUAGAGUAGAAAACUGGCCACAAUGGACCAAAUUUGCGAGUUUUAGUGAGGUCCCCGUAUACCGUUCCCGAAGUUCCUAGAAUGUUUGCGGUGCCACCGGGGACCCAUAAUAAGUGAGUAAUAGCAUAGUAAACUGGCCAGAAUGGAUCGUACCUACGAGUUUUCACGAGGUCCCCAUAACCGGACCCCGAAGUUCCUCGAACGUUCGUGUCGCCCGGGACCACGAACGUCAAGUGAGUAAUAGCAUAGAAACUGCGAGAAUGGACCAAAUCUGCGAGUUUUGACGANNNNNNNNNNNNNNNNNNNNNNNNNNNNNNNNNNNNNNNNNNNNNNNNNNNNNNNNNNNNNNNNNNNNNNNNNNNNNNNNNNNNNNNNNNNNNNNNNNNNGUAGNGCNCCGACGACCAAGACCAGUGAGUAAUAGCAUAGAAAAAGGCCCAGAAUGGACCAAAUCUGYGAGUUUUGACAAGGUCCCCRUAACUGGUCCCCGAAGUUCGCGGAACAUUUGGAUCGCUCCGGGAACCAAAAUGAGUGAGUAAUCGCAUAGAAAACUGGCUAGAAUAGACCAAAUCUGCGAGUUUUGACAAUGUCCCAAUAACCGGACCGCAAAGUUCCCUGAACGUUCGGAUCUCCCCGGGACCCAAAAUCAAUGAGUAAUAGCAUAGAAAACUGGCCAAAAUAGACCAAAUUUGCGAGUUUUGACGAGGUCCCCGUAACCGGUGCCCGAAGUUCCCCGUAUGUUUGCGGCGCCACGGGACCCAUAAUUAGUGAGUAAUAGCAUAGAAUACUCGCAGAAAGGAUCGAAUCUACGAGUUUUCACGAGGUCCCCUUAACCGGACCCCAAAGUUCCCCGAACGUCGUGUCGCCCCGGGACACAAAUUCAGUGACUAAUAGCAUAGAAAACUGGCCAGAAUGGACCAAAUCUGCGAGUUUUGACGAGGUCCCCGGAGUHCGCMGACUGUUUGGAUCUCCCCGGGGAACAAAAUUUAGUGAGUNNNNNNNNNNNNNNNNNNNNNNNNNNNNNNNNNNNNNNNNNNNNNNNNNNNNNNNNNNNNNNNNNNNNNNNNNNNNNNNNNNNNNNNNNNNNNNNNNNNNGGACCCCAAAGUUCCCCGAACGUCGUGUCGCCCCGGGACACAAAUUCAGUGACUAAUAGCAUAGAAAACUGGCCAGAAUGGACCAAAUCUGCGAGUUUUGACGAGGUCCGUGUAACCGGUCCCCGGAGAUCGCGGAACGUCUGUAGCUCCCGGGGACCCAGAAUCAGUGAGUAAUAGCAAAGAAAACUGGCCAGAAUGAACACAAUCUACGAGUUUUGAUGAGGUCCCCGUAACCGGUCCCCCGAGUUCGCAGAACGUUCGGAUUGGCCCGAAAACCAAAAUCAGUGAGCAAUAGCAUAGAAAACUGGCGAGAAUGGACCAAAUCUGCGAGAUUUGACGAGGUCCCCGUAACCGGUCCCCGAAUUUCCCCGAACGUUUGUAGCACCACGGGACCCUAAAUCAGUGAGUAAUAGCGAAGAAAACUAGACAGAAUGGACCAAAUCUGCGAGUUUUGACAAUAUCCACAUAACCGGACCCCAAAGUUCYCCGAAUGUUCAGAUCUACCCUGAGACCCAAAAUCAGUGAGUAAUAGCAUGAUGAUGUGCCCCAUGAUAUUCAAGCACUUACCCAAGGUUCCGAACCUGCUCAUGAUCAAGAUCAAGUGACAACCACAAGAUCCAGACCAAGNNNNNNNNNNNNNNNNNNNNNNNNNNNNNNNNNNNNNNNNNNNNNNNNNNNNNNNNNNNNNNNNNNNNNNNNNNNNNNNNNNNNNNNNNNNNNNNNNNNNAAUUCGUUGCAUCUUGUAAAACAAGAGCAAUUGAGAAAGAAGUAUGGAUGACAUUUGUAUGUCGUCAUCCAUAGGGGUUGACGGAGGAAGGGAAAUUGCAGAAGCGAUGAUCACAAGUUCUCGAGUGAACAUCAGAGAUUAUCCUCGGAGUCUUCUGACAGAUCAAGUCAUCGUCUGGAAUUGCGGGGCUCUCCGGGUAGAUGUGAUUACGACGACCUAAUGUUAGAGUUAGUAAAACCUUUAACCCGAAAGAGAAGAGAGAGUAGAGCCCAGAGUAUAGAAAAGGAGUAAAAGAUACUAAUACCACCCAAUUGAGAUGUGGGCCCAUAAGACACAACAUCAGUGUUAGUAAAGUUUUUCAAACACUAGACUCAACUUCGGCCAAGGAGUUGGAAAAGGGGGCUACCUACAGGCAGUUGGCUCUGACACCAACUUGUGACGCCCUCGGUUUAACCGUACGCUAAUCAUACACGGAAAUGCAUACGAUCAAACCCAGGACUCACGGGAAGAUAUCACAACANNNNNNNNNNNNNNNNNNNNNNNNNNNNNNNNNNNNNNNNNNNNNNNNNNNNNNNNNNNNNNNNNNNNNNNNNNNNNNNNNNNNNNNNNNNNNNNNNNNNCAAGGUGCGGGAGACGUCACCGGGCUGCACGUGUGUUGAACGCGGAGGUGCCGUAGUUCGGCACUAGAUCGGAAUCACACCGCGAUCUGAAUCGCCGCGAGUACGACUCCAUCAAUCGCGUUCUAGCAAUGCUUCCGCUUAGCGAUCUUCAAAGGUAUGAAUAUGCACUCACCCCUCUCUCGUUGCUGGUCUCUCCAUAGGAAGAUCUGAAUAUGGUGUAGGAAAGUUUUGAACUUAUGCUACGUUACCCAACAGUGGUAUCGGAGCCAAGUUUUCUAUGCGUUAGAUUCUAUGCACGAGUAGAACACAAAAAGGUUAUGGGGCGAUGAUUUGUCAAUUGCUUGCCGCUACUAGUCUUAUUCUUUUCAGGCGGUAUUGUGGGAUGAAGCGCCCCGGACCGACAUUACACGUACGCUUACGUGAGACUGGUUCCACCGACAUACAUGCACACCGUGCAUAAAGGUGCUAGCGGGUGUCUGUCUCUCCUACUCCACGUCGGUANNNNNNNNNNNNNNNNNNNNNNNNNNNNNNNNNNNNNNNNNNNNNNNNNNNNNNNNNNNNNNNNNNNNNNNNNNNNNNNNNNNNNNNNNNNNNNNNNNNNUAUCACAUCACAUCUUUGGCCAUAUCACAUCACAAGCAUACCCUGCAAAAACAAGUUAGACGUCCUCUAAUUUUGUUGUUUGCAUGUUUUACGUGGUGACCAUGGGUAUCUAGUAGGAUCACAUCUUACUUACGCAAACACCACAACGGAGAUAUAUGAAUUGCUAUUUAACCUUAUACAAGGACCUCCUCGGUCAAAUCCGAUUCAACUAAAGUUGGAGAAACCGACACUUGUCAGUCAUCUUUGAGCAAAGGGGGUUACUCGUAGCGAUGAAACCAGUCUCUCGUAAGCGUAUGAGUAAUGUCGGUCCAAGCCGCUUCAAUCCAACAAUACCGCGGAAUCAAGAAAAGACUAAGAGGGCAGAAAAACGCACAUCACCGCCCACAAAAACCUUUUGUGUUCUACUCGAGAAGACAUCUACGCAUGAACCUAGCUCAUGAUGCCACUGUUGGGGAACGUCGCAUGGGAAACAAAAAUUUUCCUACGCGCACGAAGACCUAUCAUGGUGAUGUCCAUCUACGAGAGGGGAUGAGUGAUCUACGUACCCUUGUAGACCGUACAGCAGAAGCGUUAGAGAACGCGGUUGAUGUAGUGGAGCGUCCUCACGUCCCUCGAUUCGCCCCGCGAACAAUCCCGCGAUCAGUCGCACGAUCUAGUACCGAACGGACGGCACCUCCGCGUUCAGCACACGUACACCUCGACGAUGAUCUCGGCCUUCUUGAUCCAGCAAGNNNNNNNNNNNNNNNNNNNNNNNNNNNNNNNNNNNNNNNNNNNNNNNNNNNNNNNNNNNNNNNNNNNNNNNNNNNNNNNNNNNNNNNNNNNNNNNNNNNNCAAUAUAUCACAUCAUGUAUUUGGCCAUAUCACAUCACAUGCAUACCCUGCAAAAACAAGUUAGACAUCCUCUAAGUUGUUGUUGCAUGUUUUACGUGACUGCUAUGGGUAUCUAGUAUGAUCGCAUCUUACUUAUGCCAAGCCACAACGGUGAUAUGCAAAUUGCUAUUUAACCUUCUCCAAGGACCGCCUUGUUUAAAAUCCGAUUCAACUAAAGUUGAAGAAACGGACAACCGCCAGUCAUCUUUAUGCAACAAGUUGCAUGUUAGUCGAUGAAACCGGUCUCUCGUAAGCGUACGAGAUAGGUUGGUCCGGGCCGCUUCAAUCCAACAAUACCGCCGAAUCGAUAAAAUAAUAAGGAGGGAAGCAAAUCGAACAUCAACGACCACAAAAAAUUUGUUACUCUACUUGAGAUUUCAUCUACGCAUGAACCUAGCUCAUGAUGCCACUGUUGGGAACGUUGCAUGAGAAACAAAAAAAUUACCUACGACACACGAAGACCUNNNNNNNNNNNNNNNNNNNNNNNNNNNNNNNNNNNNNNNNNNNNNNNNNNNNNNNNNNNNNNNNNNNNNNNNNNNNNNNNNNNNNNNNNNNNNNNNNNNNAUGAUUCAUGAUCGAUCUUCGGUCUCAUGNGUUUCGAGGCCAUGUCUGCACAUGCUAGGCUCGUCAAGNUUAACCCGAGUGUUCCGCGUGCGCAACUGUUUUGCACCCGUUGUAUGUGAACGUUGAGUCUAUCACACCCGAUCAUCACGUGGUGUCUCGAAACGACGAACUGUAGCAACGGUGCACAGUCGGGGAGAACACAAUUUCGUCUUGAAAUUUUAGUGAGAGAUCACCUCAUAAUGCUACCGUCGUUCUAAGCAAAAUAAGGUGCAUAAAAGGAUUAACAUCACAUGCAAUUCAUAAGUGACAUGAUACGGCCAUCAUCACGUGCUUCUUGAUCUCCAUCACCAAAGACCGGCACGGAUCUUCUUGUCACCGGCGCCACACCAUGAUCAUCCAUCAACGUGUUGCCAUCGGGGUUGUCGUGCUACUAUGUAUUACACUAAAGCUAAUCUGCAAAAUAGAAACGCAUCUGCAAGCACAAAGUUAGUAUAAAGACAACCCUAUGGCUCCUCCGGUUGCCGUACCAUCGACAUUUAGUGAAAUAUGUGGGGAGGACAUUUUGUAAAGCAAUCAUAUUGUCAAAGUGACAAAAUGCAGGCUUUAAUAGUAGUGGUGAUGAUCUGCAAAGCGGUAGAUCUACACACUACCUUGUGAUUCUCAAAAUAUCAAUUUGAAAAACAACACUAAGAAUUUGGAUAUCAAUUCUUNNNNNNNNNNNNNNNNNNNNNNNNNNNNNNNNNNNNNNNNNNNNNNNNNNNNNNNNNNNNNNNNNNNNNNNNNNNNNNNNNNNNNNNNNNNNNNNNNNNNUCUGGCCCAUUUUCUAUGCUAUUACUCACUGGUUUUGGGUCCUAGUGCGCUACAAACGUUCCACGAACUCCGGGGACCGGUUAUGGGGACCUCGUCGCAACUCGCAGAUUUUGUCCAUUUUGUCCAAUUUACUAUGCUAUUACUCACUGAUCUUGGACCCAAGGCGAUACGAAUGUUCGAGGAACUUCACGGUCUGGUUACUGGGACCUCGUGAAAACUCGCAGAUUUGGUCCAUUCUUACCAGUUUUCUAUGCUAUUACUCACUGAUUCAGGGUCCCCUGGUAAGACAAACGUUCAUGGAAAUUCGGGGACCGGCUACGGGGACCUCGCAAAUCUCGCAUAUUUGGUCCAUUCUAGCCAAUUUUCUAUGCUAUUACUCACUGGUUCUGGUUCCUGGGGUGCUACAAACGUUCCGCGAACUCCGGGGACCGGUUACGGGGACCUCGUCAAAACUCGCAGAUUUGGUCCAUUCUCGCAAGUUUUCUAUGCUAUUACUCACUGAUUUCUGGUCCCGGGCGACACGAACGUUCGAGGAACUUCGGGGUCCGGUUAUGGGGACCUCGUGAAAACUCGUAGGUACGAUCCAUUCUGGCCAGUUUACUAUGCUAUUACUCACUUAUUAUGGGUCCCGUGGCANNNNNNNNNNGAACGUUCAUGGAAAUUCGGGGACCAGCUACGGGGACCUCACAAAUCUCGCAUAUUUGGUCCAUUCUGGCCAAUUUUCUAUGCUACUGCUCACUGGUUCUGGUUCCGAGGGUGCUACAAACGUUCCGCGAACUCCGGGGACCUCGUCAAAACUCGCAGAUUUGGUUCAUUCUCGCGAGUUUUCUAUGCUAUUACUCACUGAUUUCUGGUCCCGGGCGACACGAACGUUCGGGGAACUUCGGGGUCCGAUUAUGGGGACCUCGUGAAAACUCGCAGGUUCGAUCCAUUCUCGCUAGUUUACUAUGCUAUUACUCACUAACUAUGGGUCCCGUGGCACCGCAAACAUUCUAGGAACUUCGGGGAACGGAUACGGGGACCUCACUAAAACUCGCAAAUUUGGUCCAUUGUGGCCAGUUUUCUACUCUAUUACUCACUAAUUUUGGGUCGUGGAGAGAUCCAAACGUUCGGUGAAUUUGGGGUCCAGUUAUGGGGACAUUAUCAAAACUCACAGAUUUGGUCCAUUCUUGCCAANNNNNNNNNNGCUAUUACUCACUAAUUUUGGGUCAUGGGGAGAUCCGAACGUUCGGUGAAUUUGGGGCCCGGUUAUGGGGACAUUAUCAAAACUCGCAGAUUUGGUCCAUUCUAGCCAAUUUUCUAUGCGAUUACUCACUAAUUCAGGGUCCCGUGGUGCUACAAAUGUUCGGGGAAAUUCGAGGACCGGUUAUGGGGACCUCGUCAAAUCUCACACAUUUGGUCCAUUCUCGCCAGUUUUCUAUGCCAUUACUCACUAGUUCUGGGUCCCCGGGCGCUACAAACGUUCCACGAACUCCGGGGACCCAUUAUAGGGACCUCGUUACAACUCGCAGAUUUUGUCCAUUCUGUCGAGUUUUUUAUGCUAUUUCUCAUUGAUCUUGGCCUCAGGGCAAUACAGAUGUUCGGGGAACUUCAAUGUGUGGUUAUGGGGACCUCAUGAAAACUCGCAGAUUUGGUCCAUUCUGGAAAGUUUUCNNNNNNNNNNGAUGUUCGGGGAAAUUCGAGGACCGGUUACGGGGACCUCGUCAAAUCUCACAGAUUUGGUCCAUUCUNNNNNNNNNNACUCACGGCAAUAAAGAUGUUCGGGGAACUUCAAUGUGUGGUUACGGGGACCUCAUGAAAACUCGCAGAUUUGGUCCAUUCUGGAAAGUUUUCUAUGCUAUUACUCACUGAUUUUGGUUCCCGGGGCGAUCCGAACGUUUCGCGAACUCCAGGGAUCGGUUACGUGGACCUCGCCAAAACUCGCACAUUUGGUCCAUUCUGGCUAGUUUUCUAUGCUAUUACUCACUAAAUUUUGUUCCCGGGGAGAUCCAAACAGUCUGCGAACUCCGGGGACCUCGUCAAAACUCGCAGUAUUGGUCCAUUCUGGCUAGUUUUCUAUGCUAUUACUCACUGAUUCAGGGUCCCGUGGUGCUACAAACAUUCGGGGAAAUUCGGGGACCGGUUAUGGAGACCUCGUCAAAUCUCGCAGAUUUGGUCCAUUCUCGCCAGUUUUCUAUGCUAUUACUCACUGAUUCUCGUUCCCGGGGCGCUACAAAUGUUCCGUGAACUCCGGGGACCGGUUACGNNNNNNNNNNUGGGGACCUCGUCAAAUCUCGCAGAUUUGGUCCAUUCUCGCCAGCUUUCUAUGCUAUUACUCAGUGGUUCUGGUUCCCGGGGCGCUACAAAUGUUCCGUGAACUCCGGGGACCGGUUACGCGGACUUUGCCAAAACUCAUAGAUUUUGUCCAUUAUGGCCAGUUUUCUAUGCUUUUACUCACUAAUUGUGGGUCCCCGGGCGCUACAAACAUUCCGCGAACUCCGGGGACCGGUUACGGGGACCUCGUCAAAACACACACAUUUGGUCCAUUCUGGCCAGUUUUCUAUGCUUUUACUCACUGAUUUUGGGUCUCGGGGAGAUCUGAACGUUCGGGGAUCUUUGGGGUCCGGUUAUGUGGAUAUUGUCAAAACUCACAGAUUUGGUCCAUUCUGUCUAGUUUUCUUCGCUAUUACUCACUGAUUCAGGGUCCCGUGGUGCUANNNNNNNNNNNNNNNNNNNNNNNNNNNNNNNNNNNNNNNNNNNNNNNNNNNNNNNNNNNNNNNNNNNNNNNNNNNNNNNNNNNNNNNNNNNNNNNNNNNNCGAGUUGCGACGAGGUCCCCAUAACCGGUCCCCGGAGUUCAUGGAACGUUUGUAGUGCACUAGGACCCAAAACCAGUGAGUAAUAGCAUAGAAAAUGGGCCAGAAUAGACCAAAUCUGUGAGUUUUGACAAGGUCCCCAUAACUGGUCCCCGAAGUUCGGAUUGGCCCAGAAACCAAAAUCAGUGAGCAAUAGCAUAGAAAACUAGUGAGAAUGGACCAAAUCUGCGAGAUUUGACGAGGUCCCCGUAACCGGUCCCCGAAUUUCCCCGAAAUUUUAUAGCACCACGGGACCCUGAAUCAGUGAGUAAUAGCGAAGAAAACUAGANNNNNNNNNNGAACCAGUGAGUAAUAGCACAGAAAAUGGGCCAGAAUGGACCAAAUCUGCGAGUUUUGACAAGGUCCCCGUAACUGGUCCCCGAAGUUCGCGGAACAUUUGGAUCGCUCCGGGAACCAAAAUGAGUGAGUAAUCGCAUAGAAAACUGGCUAGAAUAGACCAAAUCUGCGAGUUUUGACAAUGUCCCAAUAACCGGACCCCAAAGUUCCCUGAACGUUCGGAUCUCCCCGGGACCCAAAAUCAAUGAGUAAUAGCAUAGAAAACUGGCCAAAAUAGACCAAAUUUGCGAGUUUUGACGAGGUCCCCGNNNNNNNNNNCUUCCCCAAACGUUCGGAUCUCCCCGGGACCCAAAAUCAAUGAGUAAUAGCAUACAAAACUGGCCAAAAUAGACCAAAUUUGCGAGUUUUGACGAGGUCCCCGUAACCGGUGCCCGAAGUUCCCCGUAUGUUUGCGGCGCCACGGGACCCAUAAUUAGUGAGUAAUAGCAUAGAAUACUCGCAGAAAGGAUCGAAUCUACGAGUUUUCACGAGGUCCCCUUAACCGGACCCCAAAGUUCCCCGAACGUCGUGUCGCCCCGGGACACAAAUUCAGUGACUAAUAGCAUAGAAAACUGGCCAGAAUGGACCAAAUCUGCGAGUUUUGACGAGGUCCGUGUAACCGGUCCCCGGAGAUCGCGGAACGUCUGUAGCUCCCGGGUACCCAGAAUCAGUGAGUAAUAGCAAAGAAAACUGGCCAGAAUGAACACAAUCUACGAGUUUUGAUGAGGUCCCCGUAACCGGUCCCCCGAGUUCGCAGAACGUUCGGAUUGGCCCGAAAACCAAAAUCAGUGAGCAAUAGCAUAGAAAACUGGCGAGAAUGGACCAAAUCUGCGAGAUUUGAUGAGGUCCCCGUAACCGGUCCCCGAAUUUCCUCGAACGUUUGUAGCACCACGGGACCCUGAAUCAGUGAGUAAUAGCGAAGAAAACUAGACAGAAUGGACCAAAACUGCGAGUUUUGACAAUAUCCCCAUAACCGGACCCCAAAGUUCCCCGAACGUUCGUAUCGCCCGGGUCCAAGAUCAAUGAGUAAUAGCAAAGAAAACUGGACAGAAUGGGCAAAAUGUGCGAGUUGUGACGAGGUCCCAAUAACCGGUCCCGGGAAUUCGUGGAACGUUUGUAGCGCCCCGGGACCCAAAAUCAGUGAGUAAUCGCAUAGGAAACUAGCUAGAUGGACCAAAUCUGCGAGUUUUGACAAUGUCCCCAUAAUCGGACCCCAAAGUUCCCCGAACGUUCGGAUCUCCCCGGGACCCAAAAUGAGUGAGUAGUAGCAUAUAAAACUGGCCAGAAUGGACCAAAUUUGCGAGUUUUGACGAGGUCCCCGNNNNNNNNNNACUGGUCCCCGAAGUUCCCCGAAUGUUUGCGGCGUCACGGGACCAUAGUUAGUGUGUAAUAGCACAGAAAACUCGCCAGAAUGGAUCGAAUCUACGAGUUUUCUCGAGGUCCCCCUAACCGACCCCGAAGUUCCCCGAACGUUCGUGUCGCCCCGUGACCCAAAAUUAGUAAGUAAUAGCAUAGAAAACUAGCCAGAAUGUACCAAAUCUGCGUGAUUUGACAAGGUCCUCGUAACCGGUCCCCGGAGUUCGCAGAAUGUUUGUAGCGCCCGGGGACCCAGAAUCAGUGAGUAAUAGCAUAGAAAACUGGACAUAAUGGACAAAAUCUAUGAGUUUUGGUGAAGUCCACGUAACCGGUCCCCGGAGUUUGCGGAACAUUUGUAGCGCCCUGGGAACUAGAACCAGUGAGUAAUAGCAUAGAAAAUUGGCCAGAAUGGACCAAAUCUGCGUGUUUUGAUGAAGUCCUCGUAACCGGUCCCCGAAUUUCCCCGAACGUUUGUAGCACCACGGGACCCUGAAUCAGUGAGUAAUAGCAUAGAAACUAGGCCAGAAUGGACCAAAUCUGUGAGUUUUGACGAGGUCCCCGUAGCCGGUCCCCGACUUUCCCGGACGUUUGUAGCACCAGGGGACCCUGAAUUAGUGAGUAAUAGCAUAGAAAACUCGCCCGAACGGACCAAAUCUGCGAGUUUUGACGAGGUCCCCAUAACCGGUCCCCGGAGUUCGCGGAAUGUUCGGAUCGCCCAGGAACCAAAAUCAGUGAGUAAUAGUAGAGAAAACUGGUCAGAAUGGAGCAGAUCUACGAGUUUUCACGAGGUCUCCGGAGUUCCCCGAAUAUUCGUAUCGCCCCGGGUGCACAAACAAUGAGUAAUAGCAUAGAAAACUGGCCAGAAUGGCAUAAAUUUGCGAUUUUGACGAGUUCCCCGUAACCGGUCCCCGGAGUUCGUGGAACGUUUGUAGCAGCCGGGGACCCAGAAUCAGUGAGUUUGCAUAGUAAACUUGCGAUAAUGGACAAAAUAUGCGAGUUUUGACAAUGUCCCCAUAACCGGACCCCAAAGUUCCGCGAACAUUCGGAUCUUCCCGGGACCCAAAAUUAGUGAGUAAUAGCAUAUAAAACUGACGAGAAUGGACCAAAUUUGCGAGUUUUGACAAGGUCCCCGUAACCGGUCCCCGAAGUUCCCCGAAUGUUUGUGGCACCACGAGACCAAUAAUUAGUGAGUAGUAGCAUAGAAAACUGGCCAGAAUGCAUCAAAUAUACGGGUCUUCAUGAGGUCCCCAUAACGGGACUCCGAAGUUCCCCGAGCUUUCGUGUUGCCCCAGACCCAAAAUCAGUGAGUAAUAGCAUAGAAAACAGGUCAGAAUGGACCAAAUGUGUGAGUUUUUUACGAGGUCCCCGUAACCGGUCCCCUGAGUUCGUGGAAUGUUUGUAGCGCCCGGGAACCCAGAAUCAGUGAGUAAUAGCAUGGAAAAGUGGCCAGGAUGGACAAUUUGUACAAGUUUUGACGAGGUCCCCGUAACCGGUCCCCGAAGUAUGCGAAACGUUCGGAUCGCUCCGGGAACCAAAGUCAAUGACUAAUCGCAUAGAAAAUUAGCUAGAAUGGACUAAAUCUGCGAGUUUUGACCAUGUCCCCAUAACCGGACCCCAAAGUUCCCCGAACGUUUGUAUUCCCCGGGACUCAAAAUCGGUGAGUAAUAGCAUACAAAACUGUCCAGAAUGGACCGAAUUUGCGAGUUUUGACGAGGUCCCCGUAACCGGUCCCCGAAGGUCCCCGGAUGUUUGUGGCGCCACGGGACCCAUAAUUAGUGAGUAAUAGCAUAGAAAAGUGGCCAUCGUGGAUCAAAUCUACGAGUUUCAAGAGGUCCCCAUAACCAGACCCCGAAGAUCCCCGAAUAUUCGUGUCGCCCCGGGACCCAAAAUCAGUGAGUAAUAGCAUAGAAAACUAACCAGAAUGGACCAAAUCUGCGAGUUUUGAUGAGGUCUCCGUAACUGGUCUCCUGAGCUCGUGGAACGUUUGUACUUUGUAGCGCCUCGGGACCCGGAAUGAGUGAGUAAUAGGAUGAAAAACUGGCCAGAAUGGACAAAAUCUAUGAGUUUUGACGAAGUCUGCGUAACCGGUCCCCGGAGUUCGCGGAACGUUCGAAUCGGCCCGGGAACCAAAAUCAGUGAUAUUUGACGAGGUUCCCGUAACCGGUCCCUGCAUUUUCCCGAACGUUUGUACCGCCACGGGACCCUGAAUCAGUGAGUAAUAGCAUAGAAACUGGCCAGAAUGGACCAAAUCUGCGAGUUUUGACGAGGUCCCCGUAAACGGUCCCCGGAGUUUGCGGAAUGUUUGGAUCUCCCCGGGAACCAAAAUCAGUGAGUAAUAGCAUACAAAAUUGGUCAGAAUGGACCAAAUGUGCGAGUUUCGACGAGGUCCCCGUAACCGGCCUCAGAGUUCGUGGAACGUUCGGAUCGCCCCGAGAACCAAAAUCAGUGAGUAAUAGCAUAGAAAACUAGCCAAAAUGGACCAAAUCUGCGACUUUUCACGAGGUCCCCGUAACCGGUCCUCAAAUUUCCCCGAACAUUUGUAGCACCACGGGACCCUGGAUCAGUGAGUAAUAGCAUAGAAAACUAGCCAGAAUGGACAAAAUCUGCGAGUUGUGACGAGGUCCCCGUAACGUGUCCCCGGAGCUCGUGGAACGUUUUUAGCGCCCCUGGACCUAGAACCAGUGAGUAAUAGCAUAGAAAAUUGGUCGGAAUGGACCAAAUCUGCGAGUUUUGAGAUUCGACAUGAUUCACGAAAUUCCAACAAGAUCUAUUCUUCACAUGAUUCGACACAUGAAACAUAACAUCUCAUAUAGAUCCACAUUAAAAACAGAGUCUUCAUGGGCAGUACCAAAACAGGACAUCUUAAGCACUUAUUUGAACUCCAGACUUUUUGUGUGUUCAAAAUGAACCAUUCAAGGCCACAUCAUCAAUUUUCAACAUUUUCUGACUUCAUUUGGUAUUUUUCAUGCUUUAACUGAUUUUUUGGAGCUAAAUGACCCAGAAAUUGAAAAGCACUACAAAUGAACUCUUAAUAGGUUGAAAGUUGGCAUGGUAUCAUCAUUUCACCCACAUAGCAUGUGCUAAAAAGUUGAGAGGGUUGCCGCAAAAACUGGAUGCACUUCGUGUACAAAUCGGACAAUCUCUUUCGAAGUAUGAGGGUUUCAUAGGGAAAACUCAUCUGUUACAAAAGGCAUUUCAUUUUUUCAAACUUAUUUCAUUUUUUCCACAUGGGUGUGUGUAUUAAAAACCAUUACAACAUAUCAUGAAUAUAGAAGUGACCAAAUUUAUAGAAAUUCAUCAUUACAUUAAAGCCAAAGUACAGUAGUGACCAAAAUAAAUACAUAGCGUUUUUACAUAGUUCUCAUUGUUGAACAACAUAUAGCUCUCUAGAGCAUCUAAUUAGAACAUACACUGAAACUAUUAGUUUUAAAUGUAACAACAAAUGCGAUCAUAACCGCAACUAAGGUACAAAUUGAUCCAACGGCAUAAUGAUACCAAGCCUCAGUAUGAAUGGCAUAUUUUCUAAUGUUUCUAAUCUUCAAGCGCAUUGCAUUCAUCUUGAUCUUGUGAUCGUCAUGCACAUCGGCAACAUCCAACUCCAAUAUCAUCUUCUCUUCUUCAACUCUUUGUAAUUUUUCUUUCAAGUAAUUGUUUUCUUUUUGAACCAAAUUUAACUUCUCGACAAGAAUUUGUAUGUCGGUUCGAAUUUCCGGUUCAUAUACCUCCUAGAUUAAAAACAAAUAUGUCACGUUGGUCGGCAUAAUUAUCAUAAACAAUAAAUAAAACAAAUAGUUAUAAAAUAUAAUAUAUACCACAUCCGAAUCAUAGACAGGACGAGGAUCGACGGAGGCGGAUACCAAAACCAUCAUACUAUCUAAUAACAAACAAUAAUAGAAGUAAGAAAAUUACACAAGUAUCUAUCUAAAUCAUACAAGUAAGAACUUUUUUAUUUUAAAAAGAAGAUAAGAAGAAGAUACUAACCACAGUGAUGCCGAUGCCGAGAUGGGCGCGGGCGAUCGACGGUGGUGUGGACGGGGACGGGACACGGACGGACCGCCAAAGCUACACAAAACUAGAGGAAAAUGGAGCUUGGACAAGGAGCUUCGAGAGGAGAAAGCUUAAGUGUGGCUUUAGAAUUUCAUCGAACACCUCAUGUGCAUAGGAGGUGAGCUAGAGCACCACAAAGCUCUCCCACGACCGGUCAAAAAAACAGAGCAGUGCACUGCUCUGCUCGCGGUCGGGUGGUAUAUAUAGGCCAAGAAUUGGUCCCGGUUUGUGGACCGAACCGGGAGUGAAGGACAACAAUUGGUCCCGGUUCCAGCCAAAAACCGGGACCAAAGGGGGCAGACGAACCGGGACCAAUGGCCCACGAGGCUCGGUCGGCGCCCUCGCCUCACGAAACGGGACCUAUGCCCCCAUGGGUCCCGGUUCGUAAGUGAACCGGGACUAAUGGAAUUUCAUCAAGUGGACCAAAGCCCUCUUUUCUACUAGUGUAAAGUAUCCAUUCCAAGUUGUCUACGUACCACAUAAUGUUUCCAAGUAGUCCAUAUGCGAGGACGCGGCUAUUCAAAUAGGUUAAUUUAGCCAGCAGGGGUAUACUUCUUCACACACGCUCUCUCCACUUAUCACCAUAUGCACGUCACGCAUCUCGGCAACCUUCAAGCGGAAGCACCGGCGUGGGUGUCGGCCACGACCGUUAACCACACAAGAGCCUAGUCCACGUUUAUCGCCUAUUUGAGACUGGACCCGCAAGGAAGUCCGACCAAAGUUUCCUCAAAUGCCUCAAACGAUGUGCACAGGGUUCCACAAGCCCACCAUCCGGGUGCCACUUGGUACACCAUGCCACUGUGUAUCUACCGCACUGAAGCCUACUCCGUCAAGCAGAGCUAAACACAGUCGCCAACACUUUUCCUACAAACACCAGAAACUAGUUGCAACUCCUGGACAGAGAUCUAGGUGAUUAAUAAGCCGAGAGGGGUUGAGUUAUCGGAGCCAAGUGUGUGGUAGUACCUUGUCUUGGAUAACAUACACAGAACUCAGUUCUUAAGGACGGUCCCAAUGAGACAACUCGCCAUGUACUCCUACAUGGCCUCUCAUCGCUACCUUUACCAAAUCGGAUUCACACAUUUUACUCUCACACAGUAGGGCAUGAACACAAACAUUAUGAUUCAUCAUCCAGAUGGACCAGAACCGACACAACUCUAAGCAUAGUAAGCAAGGAUGGAUGAGUAGGCACAUCAAGGCUCAAGAAGUUGCUACUCAUGCUAAGUGGUUUCAACUAUUUAUUGUGGCAAAAACAUGUCAUGCAAAGGAAUGGUUAAACUACCGAGACAUGUAAGAGAUGAAUCGUUGUUAUCCUAAUGAAGUAAAAGAGAGCAGGAGCGAGAGAGAGUGUUAAUAUCAGUAUGAUCAAGGGGGUUUGCUUGCCUGACAGUUCUGGGGAUACUACUUCUCUUCAUUAGUGUCAACAGUCGCAUCGUCGGAACCAUCGUCUACCGAGAAAGGCAAACAGAAAAAGAACAACAUUUACUUCACGAAAAUGCAACACUAUGAUGCAUGAUCAUGACAUGGCAAUAUGCUGGUGAUUGAGCUAAUGCAUCUAGCAACAAUAUUAAACGAAGGUGGUUUGAACCAAGGUUCAAAGUCAAACUUCAUAUGUGGUUAUUUAAAUGACAUUUAAUUCAAUUGUCCAAAACAGGGGACAUAAAUUGUUCUAACAUGCAUGAAAAUGCCAUAAAAAUAUUCCUUGCAAUUUUCUGAUAAAUUUCAUUUAUAAUUUAUUUUCUAUGAUUUUUUAAAGUUCUUAGCAUUUUCAGGAUUUUCCUAAACAUUUAAAUACCAGAAAAGCUUUACUGCGUCAGCAUUGCAUCACGGUGAUGUCAUCUGGUAAACUGACUCGGUCCUGGUCAAAACUAGCAUUGGGAGCCGCACGUGAGUGACACUGUGGCUAAAAGGGAUUAAUUAAACCUAACUAAAUAUUAUUAAUGGCCCGCACCCACUGGCAGUUACAUAUGGAUUAAAUUAGGGGUGAUUAGACCUUAAUCUACUCUUUGACAAACCGGGCCCACAUGGCAGCGGCUCAGGCGAGCGAGGUCGACGUCGGCGACCAACAGGGCGACGAAGGCACGCCGGAAUCACAGCCUCGGUGUCCAUUCGACGUGUGGACGGGCGAAAUGGGAUCAAGGGGGCUGCAGUGCUUCUGUUGGUGCGAGGUGGGUGGCCAGAGGGGCACCUGACGUACGCUUGCGACGAGCCUAUGCGGCGGCAGAAUUCGGCCGUGGUGGAAAUCACGGCUAGAGCUCGAGCGGGGCAACGGGGUUAGGGGAGGAGCAAGGGGAUAUCACAGAGAGGAGGAUGAGCUGGUCAGAGGGCUCGAGGACGACCGGGACGGAGCGAAUCGACGCCGGGGAGGUUCGGUGGCCGGAGGUUGAAGACGAAUCGGGGAUGGCCUCCUGCAGCGUCGGGCUUCGUGUGUCUUGCUGGAGAGCUUGAGGGGGACGAUACUGAGCUAGUGGGAAGCACAGGGGCGCGAGGGAGCGGCUGAGGGCACGAUACUACGACUGCCGCUCCCGCGAGGUUCGGCCAUGGAGGGGCGAGGGCGCUAGAGAACGGGAAGACUACAGGGAGAGAGGGGAAAGGCAGAGGAGGAGGAGAGCUUCUCCAUGGCGCUUUGGAAGGGCACGGGGAUGCUCUCGAAGCGACCAGCACGAGGUGGUUGCGCCUCCUCUGCGUGCCCCACGCCCUCGUGCCUACUCGCACGAGGUUGAAGAAGGCGGCAUGGGCCUCGUGGGCUGGGAUUUCCACUUGGGCCGGCUACAGGUAAGCUCAGGUAGGCUUUCUACCUUUUUUUAUUUCUGCUUGUUUUCUUUGCUUUAUUUAUUUUGCCUCUGAUUCAAAUUUAAAAUAAUUUUAAAACAUGGCAAAACCCUCUGAAUAUUUUUAUGUAGCUUUAAUGGAUAUUUCCAAAGGCUCAUAAAAUAUUUCAUAGUAUUUUGAAUUUAUAUUCUACCUAUAAGAAUAUAGAUCCAACUCAAAUACAAUAUAAUUUAAUUCAAAUGCCCAAAAUAUUUCCUUCAAAUUGUUCCUAAAUUUUGGUUUGAAUUCUAGUCCUUCCCAAAAUUCUCAAAGCAAAUAAAGGAAAAUUUUGGAACCAAUGAAUAUGAUUUCUAGGGUGCUUUGCCCUUCCUUUAUUUUGAAAUUUUGAGGCUUAUAAAAAUUCUCAAUUCAGGUUUCAUGAAAAUUUUAUCAUGAUGCAAUCAAUGUUGAUGCGACUAUUUUACAAGCAAAUAUAGGGAUGUGACAUCUCACCCCCACUAAACAAGAAUCUCGUCCCGAGAUUCACGCGUAGGGUAAGAGGGAAAAGGGACACUAAACUAUCACAAUCUUCAUGAUCCAAUUGCUCUUCUUGAAGAUGUUGAUUCAUUGCAUCAAGUUGAUAUUGAUAUCUUUGCCUUGAGGCCUUCAUCCAACACGAUGACAAAAAGAAAAUGAAAACUCUACAAGAUUCGAUCUCCUUGAAGAUCGAGCAACUCCUAAUCAACUCAUCGAAUGAGACGUAUAAACAUCUCUUGAGCUGAGACACAAAACACAUAAUAGGAAUGAGGAAAUGAGGCAUAUGAUAGAGGUUCAAUUGGUAGGCAACAAUUACACUCUUAAAAUAGAUGGUGACGAGGUUUCAAAGUAGUGAGGAGUUAAAUUGCCCUUCAUACCAUAACGGGGCACCUUAGAAAGGUGACUCGUAGAGUUAUUUCCUUAAGUGGCAAAAAGAAUUACUUUUGAUCCAGAGAUCAUUAAAACUCUUCAUACCAGGGUGAGGCAAUUCACAAAUGGUCGUUUGAAGGGGUUCAGAGAAAUGGCAUACUCGGCUUGGAAAAGAAAACUAGAGUUAUAGAACAACUUGGCAAACGGAAGACACAUUCCAAUUGUUACCGAGAAUAUAACCCAGUGUCUGAGCGUUGUUUCAUUAGAAUUCACUCGGUCUAUUAUGGAAUAAGAGAGUUGUUUCAUCUUUGUUCUAUAGAAACAUAAAAAUGAAUAGGAAGUAAAAUGAUUCAACUUUUCUUUAUGUUUUCGUAAAUAUAUUUAUUUCUAUUAUUAAAGGGGAUCUGCCGUCGUGAUGGUUCGACCUCCCCUCCCACCCUCCAUGGCAGGCGCUAGAAAAAUCAUCCGAUCCCGCACGCACAGAGAAACCCCAAAAAAACAUCCCACGCUCCCACACAUUGUCGCUAAAAAAGAAGAGAAUAAACUGCCACCCCGCCUCUCCCAGAUCCACCGAUCCUCGUUGCCCGCACAGACACCGCUAAACUGCCAUCACCUCUUCCCGAUCCAUUGCUCCCAAUCUCGUCUCUCUCCUGCCAAAUAUUGUCGUCACCAGAUAGAGGAAAGAGCGCAACGGAGGCACCGAGGAUGAGGGGGCGUCUCUCGCUCGUUUCUGCUCACGAGGAUCAUGCCAACCGUCACCCCCACCGAUGUCGCCGCCGUGGCGGACGAGGCGAGCCCCAAGCUGCGGGACACCGCGGCGGACGCACGCUGGCACAACUCAAAAAAGCAAGUACAUGACAAUUAGGUAAAAUUGUAAAUUGUUGUGCAUGUAUGACAGUGUCAUUGUCAAAUAAGGCCGGUGGGAGGAUUUGUAAAUCGAUUUCAUAGUCUUGUUAUAGGUUGGAAUUAGGUUAUGUAAACAUUUUGCACAACAGCUUCUGUCCAGAAGAAGUUUUUUCUGUGCUGGCUUGUUGUCCCAUUUUUAUUCUAGGCAACAUUAGCACAAGUAGCUUAUUUUCGUAUGUGGUUUUAAAUUUUCUUUCAUUGUUCCCAAUUCUCCUUUCGCUAGGAUGGAAGUUCAUGUAAUCUUCAGUAUAGCAAUAUUAUGAAUGGGAGUUCCCGGUGUGCAAUGGCAGUGAUGUCACCCGUUCUCGUUUGAAAAGUAGAUAUUGUAAUAAUAUAGAACCAAGUAUCAUAUUAUAGUUAUUUGUGGCUAUUUUUUCCAAUGUUCAAAAGUAUCUUUGAGGAAGAAUAUUCAUUUGGAUUUAGAUCCAUACAAAGAAGGGGGUGGGAAGAAAGGGAGGAGGUUAUGGUGCCUUAACUUCUUGUUUUAUAGGGCCAAAGAGAUAUAAUGUUUAAAAUAAUAGCUUGGGUGCCAAUAAAUCAACGAUAAAUACAUAUUCUAUGUUCUAGAAUAAAAUGAUUAUUAUUUACUUGUUUAGUAUGUAUCAAUGUGCCCUCUAUGAUAGUAGCGGUGGAUGUGAAAAAAGUUCGACAAUAUCAGUUGAUGUGUAUAAUGAUUCAGAAAAACAUAUAGAUGUUAAACCACUAUAAUAUUUAUGCCCGGUAGCAACACACUGGCAACUAACUAGUUUAGGUAAUAACUAAAUGGACCAUCGUUGGGUGUUGCCUCCUUCUGGAUGUACGAAUCUAAAUGCCUCUAAAUGUUGAUGGAAGCUAUGUUCCUGCUGACGGAUCAGUGGGAGGAGGUAUGGUGCUAAGUUCUGACCGAGGUGAAAUUAUUUUCACAACGAGAUUCACACAUGCGACAAUAGCCUCCAUGCUGAGUCUGUUGCUUGCAAGGAGGGACUUGAGCUCGCGCUGCACCGCACUAUGCUGCCCAUUGCGGUUGAGAUGGACAACGCUGAAGCCGCCGGGAUGGAAUGCCACUUCGGUGGACUUGUUGAGGAGAUCAAGAGGAUGGUCGCUCCCGGCCCUAGGGAGAUUUCUAUUAUCGCUAUUAGUCGCUCGUAAAAUAAAGUUAAUCAUGAGCUUGCUGCAUAUGAUCAAAGUACUCCUCGUACUGCAGUUUGAUUGCGCUCGGGUUUGAGCAACAUUAUUGUAAUGGCACUAGCUGAUUUGCCUCCUUAAAUUAAAUUAAUAGAAGGGAGUGCCUAGAACUCAUGUAGAUGAGUUAUAGUUUGGUCUCAUUCACCUGACAUCAUUUGACAUCAUCUUUGUUGUUAUAGCUUCGUUUUUAUUGAAUGAGCCAUGUCUAAAAUUGCUCUUUCUUUCCUUGGCCUGGCCCAUUUUAGUUGUGUCCCUAUUAGUUGUUGUAAAAAUAACAUAACAAAAAGACACGCAUACUCUUCUACAAAGCGCAUCCACAUAUAUGCACCGGUCAAAUGCCCAUCACACGUACGUACACACAUACAUCAGGGCAAUAUACAUGCAUGCACAUGCACGCUCACGCGACUGGCCGGCCAGUGCACAGUUGCACAAUGGGCACAUGCAAACAGGAUACAUAUCAUGUAUAUUUGUCACUACUGUGGGUACAUGCAAAGAUAAUUGCAUCAAUCACUUUGUUAAUAUUUUAUCAGUCACAUCAGAUUUAAAAAAUUGCGGUUGCGACGUGACCAUGAAAAAGUGCAGUUGCGAUCAGAUUCUACAAACAUGCGGUUGCGACCCGACCAUGAAAAUAUGCAAUUGUGAUGACAUUUAAAAAUUUGCAGUUGCGACCCGAGAUUGGAAACAUGCAAUUACGACCCUACCAUGAAAACUUGCAGUUGCGACGGUAUUUGAAAACUCGCACACGUGACCCGGCAUUGAAAACAUGCAGUUGCGGUGACAUUUAAAAACUGGCAAUUGUGACAUGACCAUGCAAAAAUGCAGUUGCGACCAGAUGCUACAAACAUGCGGUUGCAAUCUGACCAUGAAAACAUGCAGUUGCGACGACAUUUAAAAAUUUGCAGUUGCGACCCGACGUUGAAAACAUGCAGUUGCGGUGACAUUUGAAAACUGGCAAUUGUGACAUGACCAUGCAAAAAUGCAGUUGCGACCAAAUCCUGCAAACAUGCGGUUGCGACCCGACCAUGAAAACAUGCAGUUGCAACGACAUUUAAAAAUUUGCAGUUGCGACCCGGCGUUGAAAACAUGUAGUUGCGAUGACAUUUGAAAACUGUGACGUGACCAUGCAAAAAUGCAGUUGCGACCAGAUCCUGCAAACAUGCAGUUGCGACCCGACCAUGAAAAGAUGCAGUUGCAACGACAUUUAAAAAUUUGCAGUUGCGACCCGACAUUGGAAAGAUGCAAUUACGACCCUAUCAUGAAAACUUGUAGUUGCGACGACGUUCGAAAACUUGCAGUUGUGAUGAAAACAUGUAGUUGGGACGACAUUUUAAAACUUGCAAUUGCGACCCGACGUUGAAAACAUGAAGUUACGACCAAACCUUACAAACAUGCAGUUGCGAAGUGACUUUAAAAAUAUGCAGUUGCGAUAACAUUUAGAAACAUGCAGUUGCACCCUUUGAAAGCAUCCACUUGUGAUUGUGACUCCAUGUAAAAAAAUAGAGUUGGGACCCCUUUGAAUAUAUGCACUUGUAGGCCCCCUUUUUCUUAUAAACGUACAACUAUGACCCCUUGCGAAACUGUAAUGUGUGUAGUUGCACGAUCUCUCCUUAAUACAUGUUUUUGGACGAUGAAAAACACAAAACUGUAAGCAUGGACAAAAAAAUCCAUAAUAAUUAUUUUACCAAAAAAUUAUCUACAAAAUUCAAACAAUGAAAAAGCACCUACCAAAAAUUAGAACAUCUACACAUGAAAAAGGAAUAAAAAAUAAUAAAUAAGACCUGAUGCAUCAAACCAUGACAAUGCUAGCCUAAAAAAAUUGAAAAAAAGAGAAGAAAUAACUUUUUUUUGAACAAAACAUAAGAAAUAACAAGGAUAGUUUGAAUAAAAAAAGAAAAAGAAAAGGUCCACCAAACCAGGGGCUGCCGCAUACACACAGUAUAAGUUAGAGGGGUGGUUGCCUGAUCAAUAGAGAGCGGCAUAGUCUUUUCGUAUGCGGCAAAAUGCAGAUUGACCAGAAAAGGCCCAUAUGCCCAUAACCCAACAACAUAGUCUUUUCGUAUGCGGCAAAGUUCAAUUACGUUUUAGAAGAAUGAAGUAAAAGAAUUGAAUGAAAGGAUCCCCCGAUCCAUCUUUUUAUUAAUGAAGCAAAGUAGUCUCCGAUUACAGCCAAAGCAACCACUAGUUCCAAACAGACUUAAACUAAAAACACAGAAUGAACCGACUCCAGUCACAGAUAAUAGCAGCAACCUAUUACAGACCGGGUACUUCUAGAACAAACUGUGGCUACUACUCUACGUCAGGCUACAGAGUCACCCAGGCGAUGCGAAGAAGCUCCCCUCAGCACUUGUCCAGCUUACUGAUGAACUGCCGAAGAACCACGUCAUGUGUGAUGUCGUAGAGUACACUCCAUUAUUGAAGAAAACUUUAAAGUUUCGCAAGCACACGCAGUCUAGACUUUUCCAAAAAUGACCCUGAAAAUAAAACUCAUUUCUUAGUCUUCAAAUACUGCACAAGAAGGCAGCAGCAAUCAUAUUCUGGACCGGUUUUUUUUAUGAAUCUGCCAUAAGGGUACAAACAUAUUUAAAGCAUGAAUUAAUUGGCAUUUGAAACAAUCAGCAAAUAAUUUCCAAAUGCACUUAGCCACCACACAAUCAAAAAACAGAUGUUGUACAGGUUCCAUCUCACUACAAAAUAAGCAAGUAUGAUCAUGAACAGAAUGAAGUAAAAUUAUUUCCUAACGGCGACAUUUUCCUUGUUAUAUAGGAGCUCAGCUUGGGCUGGAAUAUGGAUCGAUCUCGCGAGCAGUAAUCAGCCUAAUUAUAGCAAUUUGUGUACACUCUUUAUAUAAUCUGAUCUGAAAAAGGUGAUCUAGAGGAAAAGGGCAUGGAAAACGCUGUCCACUUCAAAGCCGGACGUCGGGACGUGAACACGUCAGAGCAGAGGCAUGAAACCAGCCAUAUUCAGCACGGACGCGUGAAGCUUGCAUGCAUGCAAUGCUUUCCAAUUUCCAGCUCCGUCGAUCAAUGUUCGCUCUAGACGGCUGCUACAUAUACCCCGUACUGCUCGUCCCAUAGCUCAUCAAGCAGCUCGAUCGACCGCACCACUACCGUAGUACCGUGCCUCAGAGCUCAUCACUGGUCAGGUACCAAGAAGACAUAAAAAUGGACGCCCAGAGCAAGGAGGUCGACGCCCUUGUCCAGAAGAUCACCGGCCUCCACGCCGCCAUCGCCAAGCUGCCCUCGCUCAGCCCGUCCCCGGACGUCGACGCGCUCUUCACCGACCUGGUCACCGCGUGCGCGCCCCCGAGCCCCGUGGACGUGACCAAGCUCGCCCCGGAGGCGCAGGCGAUGCGGGAGGGCCUCAUCCGCCUCUGCUCCGAGGCCGAGGGCAAGCUGGAGGCGCACUACUCCGACAUGCUCGCCGCCUUCGACAACCCGCUCGACCACCUCGGCGUCUUCCCCUACUACAGCAACUACAUCAACCUCAGCAAGCUCGAGUACGAGCUCCUCGCGCGCUACGUGCCCGGCGGCAUCGCCCCGGCCCGCGUCGCCUUCAUCGGCUCCGGCCCGCUGCCGUUCAGCUCCUACGUCCUCGCCGCGCGCCACCUGCCCGACACCGUGUUCGACAACUACGACCUGUGCGGCGCGGCCAACGACCGCGCGAGCAGGCUGUUCCGCGCGGACAAGGACGUCGGCGCCCGCAUGUCGUUCCACACCGCCGACGUCGCGGACCUCACCGACGAGCUCGCUACGUACGACGUCGUCUUCCUGGCCGCGCUCGUUGGCAUGGCCGCCGAGGACAAGGCCAAGGUGAUCGCGCACCUUGGCGCGCACAUGGCGGACGGGGCGGCCCUCGUCGUGCGCAGCGCGCACGGGGCGCGUGGGUUCCUCUAUCCGAUCGUCGAUCCCCAGGACAUUGGUCGAGGCGGGUUCGAGGUGCUCGCCGUGUGUCACCCCGACGACGACGUGGUGAACUCCGUCAUCAUCGCACAAAAGAGCAACGACGUGCACGAGUAUGGACUUGGCAGCGGGCGUGGUGGACGGUACGCGCGAGGCACGGUGGUGCCGGUGGUCAGCCCACCCUGCAGGUUCGGCGAGAUGGUGGCAGACGUGACCCAGAAGAGAGAGGAGUUUGCCAAGGCGGAAGUGGCCUUCUGAUUGCUGCGAGGUACACCGCUGCUGAAUCGUACGUGGUAAUUUUUCUACUCCUUCUCUUCCUACCACCACCUAUCACCUAUGUAUGCAUUUUAAGUCGUGUGUUAUUUGUAUCCAAUAAUGUAAGUGAGAUGUUUACACGCGCAUAUCUAUCUUGUAUACUCGGUCUCUGAAAGGCAUGGCAGAUCAGGAUAGUGUGCAAAGGAACAGCAAGUGUUGUUGCAGGUGUAUGUGUUUUGUUUUUUGUUUUUUUUGUGCGGGGGUUGAAGGUGUAUGUGUUGGGAAUAAGAUUAUUUUUGUUCACAAAUACGAUGU